Molecule: long non-coding RNA, 73686 nt
Filed under: Brassica napus (rape)
Lineage: Eukaryota; Viridiplantae; Streptophyta; Magnoliopsida; Brassicales; Brassicaceae
Description: long non-coding RNA (BNAP_LNC000273)
Rfam family: tRNA (bases 20932-21013)
Source: RNAcentral
AAUCCCUUCCCUUUCUUGGGAUUAUAUUCGCCGCGUGGUAGAGAGAUGUCGCCGACGCUAGGAAGUCAAUCGGAAUCCACCGCUACUCCUAUCUUCAAUCCGCUUGAUUCAUACGCCUCAAGUACUCUGCUCCAGUAGUAGCUAGUAAUAUAGAGGUAGUUCUAGGGUUUCGAUUCGAUGGAGCCGCGAGUGGGAAACAAGUUUCGGCUGGGACGGAAGAUCGGAAGUGGAUCAUUCGGAGAGAUCUAUCUUGGUAAUCCCCUUAACUAUACUUGCUUGUUUGAAUCGAAUUAUACUGAAGGAGUAUGGUGUUGUGUAGGUACUGAUAUACAGACUAAUGAAGAAGUUGCCAUUAAACUCGUAAGUAUUCGUUUCACUAAUGAAGUAGAGAGAACCUAGUUGUUUUGGGGGAAUGUGAAUCUGAGGUCUUUGCUUGCUUAUUGAUAAGUACUACUUACUUGCGGGCAUAUAUAUCGUGUCGAUUUAUAAAUAACUGAGCUUUGUGUCAAUUCUUAUUGUUAUUGUUUGGUUUUUCUUAGCUUGUAGCUUUUUCUUUUUACCAUGUUGUAAUAUCUGACAGUUCCAAGUUCUGAAUGGUGUUGAAAGUUCCAAGCUUUGAAUGUUAAACUACGAACAUUCAGUUUAUAGCAUGAUUGAAAACUAGCUAUUCAGUGUGAAAUAAAGCAGUAAUAUGAAUUACUAUAGAAACAUAGGAGGUAUAUACUGUACUUUAUAGGCUAAUACACUGCCUUUAGCUAUAAGGCUGUUACUUCUUUUUGUUAGAACUGAGAGCUGGUACUGUAUUAUUGAUUCUUGGGAAGAUAGUUUAUUUAAUUUUGUUUUCAUGCUUCUUUGUUGUUCUUAAUUUUCUACACAUAAUCAUAUAUCAGAGUUUGACUGCUGUGCUUGCUGUAUAUGUUCUGAUUGGCAUGCUUUUUUUCUUCUUUCAGGAAAAUGUGAAAACUAAGCAUCCUCAGUUACUGUAUGAAUCAAAAUUAUAUAAAGUAUUACAAGGAGGAAGUAAGGACCUUAGUUAUGUACUUGUUUUCAUUUUGCAGUAUGUGCUUUCUUCUUUCUAAUUCAAGUAAGGUUGCUUUCCUCUUUUUUAUUUCAGCCGGCGUUCCAAACAUUAAAUGGUAUGGUGUUGAAGGGGAAUAUAACGUCCUUGUGAUAGACUUGUUGGGGCCUAGCCUUGAAGAUCUAUUCAAUUUCUGUAGUAGGAAACUUUCACUAAAGACUGUACUGAUGCUUGCAGAUCAAAUGGUAGGAUCCCUUCUAUUGGCUGAAAAUAAUUUUCCUAUUUUGAACAAGGGUAUUGCCUAAAUACUUUGGACAUAUUUUUUACCCUUGUCAGAUCAAUCGCAUUGAAUUUGUUCAUCAGAGGUCAUUUCUACACCGGGACAUCAAGCCUGACAACUUUCUGAUGGGUCUUGGGAGGCGCGCAAAUCAGGUAGUUGUUGAAAAGGGUUGUUUUAGGCUUUGUUUACUCCUCCUCAAUUAUCUGUUAAACGAAACGCUGGCCGAGUACAGGUAUACAUCAUCGACUUUGGUCUGGCCAAGAAGUAUAGAGACUCAAAUCAUCAGCAUAUACCGUACAGGUUAGCCACAGCCCUGUGAUUUUCCUUGUUGAGCCUGUGCAUCUGAUACUUAUGUGCUCACAGUAUCGGACUAGAGUUGUUGGAUCAUAAGAAUAAUUGGUUGAGCUAGUGCUAGGGAUUGCUUUCGUUUUCUACUAGCCUGUGUUGUUUAACUUGAGGUUCUCAAUGUUAUAUGUCACUGCGAAAGGAUGGAGUCUUCUUGUCUGCUUACAAUAAGCUGCAGUGUGGUUAUUACAAUAUUUUCUACUGUCUGUACCUUACGUGUUUACUGUUAGUUUUUGCCUUAUCUAGAAAAUGGGGCGAAUUUUGCUUGUUUUUGAGUAUAAUCAUUGCUUUAUUCUUGUUUUAGUGUAUAUAAAUGAUUAGAGACAAAACAAGAGUUUUAUAGGUGUUAUUUCAUUUGGAAUAAGGUAUUGCUACCGUUUUAGUAGAUAUAUAGCCCUCUUACUGAGGAUAUUUAGUUUAUUUUUUUCCAGUUUUUGUGAAGCUGCAAUAGUAUGUAAGAAAAUUAUUUGAUGAAUUGCUAGGAUUAGUAACCCUUUCGAUGAUUGCAGUAUAUGAUAUAUUAGCUUAGCAAUUGUAAUCCUAAUAUCUUGUUUAUCACAGGGAAAACAAAAAUUUGACUGGAACUGCUAGAUACGCCAGCAUGAACACUCACCUUGGCAUUGGUAUACCAGUUCAUUUAGUUUCUCACUUUCUAAUUAUUUUAAAAACGUGAUUAUGAACAGCAAUGGUCGUUUGUAUUAUAGAACAAAGCCGUAGAGAUGAUUUGGAGUCACUUGGAUUUGUUCUCAUGUACUUCUUAAAAGGAAGGUGCGUACCUCUCUUACCUUCCAUGUUUAGAUGUUGCUAUUGGUUAUUAAUAAGGCGGCCUGCGGCUUACUUUGCCACUUGAAUGCAGUCUUCCUUGGCAAGGACUGAAAGCUGGGAAUAAGAAGCAAAAGUAUGAGAGAAUUAGUGAGAAGAAAGUAUCGACAUCUAUUGAGGUAUAAAUUAUUACCCGAGGCCUGUGUUGGUGAUACAUGUGGUCUAAUACUGAUAAUUAUUCUUUUUCUUGUUUUAGUCUCUAUGCCGAGGAUAUCCAUCUGAAUUUGCAUCUUACUUCCAUUAUUGCCGUUCCCUGAGAUUCGAUGACAAGCCAGACUAUGCCUACCUGAAACGGCUUUUCCGUGACCUGUUUAUCCGCGAAGGUCUGGUUCACUCGUCACUUUUGUUAAUUCUAGUCUGGUGAAUCAAAUAUAACUUGAAUCAGUAAAGUAAUAUGUUGGUUUAAAUUUGCGUUCUCUGCUCGUAUUUUAGGCUUUCAGUUUGAUUAUGUAUUUGAUUGGACUAUCUUGAAGUAUCAGCAAUCACAGCUUUCUACUCCUCCCCGUCCCAAUGUAAGAAUCAUGUUGUUUUUUUUUCCUUUUUCGGAUUUCAUCUGUCUACUUAAUUUCUGCUAAUGUACAUACCUUUGUUACAGGUCCCUGGAGUUGGGCAAAGCUCUGGCCUUCCCCCUGCUAUUACUAGUGCUGAGAGGCCAUCAGGUUGUUCCAUCUAUUUUGAUUUUUGAGUAGUUUCUUCUAUGUGUGGUUAAGCAUUUAAACUAUGAUCCUCGGUUCUACAGGAAUAUGAGUAUUAGAUAUGUUCUUUGAUUCCACUGCAGGUGGCGAGGAAGCUAGAACUUCUUCUGGCUGGCCAUCAGGAAACCCUAGGCGGAUUUCUGGACAAAUAUUUAAUUCAGGCAACUUAGCUAAACAAAAAGCACCAGUUUCAAAUGAUCCUGCAAUCUCUAAAGAUGUAAUGGUGAGUACAUAAAGUUGGUAUCCUUUUUCUAGCUCCUGUUUUGAAUAAGAUGAACAUAACGUUAUGUGAGCCAGUUUGUAUACACAAGGAUUUGGCCGCUGAAUUUGAUUUAUUUUACCCCCUACCAGUAUGUAGUAUCAUGUUUUGCAAACAUGAUCUAUAGGAUUCUUUGUUCUUUAUAUAAAAUAGUAACCGAGUUGUUUUGCUUGUGUCAGUUAUCUAGCUCUAGCUUUCUCCGCGCAACUGGGUCAUCAAGACGUGCUGCUGUCUCCGGUAGUCGCGAGGCUGCAGUUCCUGGAACUGAUUCUGAGCCAUCAAACCCUCAAAUCAUUGAAGCUGGAACAAGCUCCAACCCAAAGAUUCAUGGUGGUCGAAGCUCACCUAUAGUCUCAUCUGAGAACAAGAAGCUAUCAUCUCCAUCAAGGGGAAAUACUUCAGUUAUGAAGAACUAUGAGUCCAAUCUUAAAGGGAUCGAGGGUCUGCACUUUUAGCCGCUGGGUACCCACUGACCAGUGAAUGAUGUUUGUAAAUUUAAAGACAAAAGAAAACCUUUCUUAGGCCCUCCCCAGGUUUUAGAGGGAGGGAGACUUUGCUUGUGCUUGUAAGCACUCUCAAAUAACAAAAGAUAAAGUAAAGACUCUGAAGAAGUGAUUCCAGAGGAAUACAAACUCAGAAGUGAGUCAAGGAGUCAAUAGACUUGACAUUUUUAGUCCCCAUUUGAUUAUUUUUCUACUCUGUUGUGUAUGUCUCAGUUGGUACUGCAAAGUUAAUUUGGAGUCUCGAAGGGAUUUGAAGUGUAAGCGUUAAUUGUACUGUUUUGUUUAAAACUGGACAUGAGAGUUGCGUAUGUCAUGCCAAGUUGCACCCUCAGAGGACAUGAGUGUUACAUGUUGUGUCAUAUUUCAAUUCUUCAUAUCUAUGAAUGGAGUAUAUAGCGAAUGCAAUUAAAUUCAUCAUAACUUGUAUCAGCCAGCCUGAACCUCUUGUUGUUACCAGCGAUCAUAACAUUGAGUUUGCUAAAAGUGGAAUCUGAAAGAUACAAGAAGCAAGAGAAGAGACUGAGAAGAUUUUGUUGUAGGAUCAUGACAAGAGUUAAAAACCGAUAUAAAGAAAAGACAACAGUUUUAUUAUGUACUUAUCCUUUAGUUUACAAACAGAACAAUCAGAUACAACACUUGCUUGCUUGUGUCUACAGCUCUUAUUAUCAAGAUAAACUCCUAAAAUCACUCUUAAUACAAUCAGAUAUCGUACGUUGAUUACUACUCUUCCCUUUUGCUGAAUAUCUCUCUAUCAGAUCACCACAAACCGUUGACAGCAUUUGAACAAGUCUCCUUGAACCACUUGAAGUUCUUUCUAAUAGAUCCCUUCACUUUCCCUUCAAGACCAUACACGUUAUAAGCAGCCACUCUCUUCUUCCUCUGAAUCUCUGCCUCCUUUAACCCUUUCUUCACCUUACUAUUCGAUUUACUAUUGGGAUUGUCUCUCACCGUUGUUGGAUUCUUGUGUGGACUAUAACUUGACGUGCUAUAAGAUCUCAGCAUCACUGGAAGCUGUUGGUUUGCUGGGCUUGGUGCUGCCACUGCUUCUGGUGUUCCACCAUUCGUUAAGCAAUGGUACUUGUAGGCUAUACUGCUGCUUCUCAUCUCUUCUCUGCAUGACUUUGAUUUCAACAUCUUCACUUGCAACAACCUCAAGAAGCUGGGUCUGCUUUUAGGAAGAAAAAAAGGAGAAAUGCUUUCUUCUUUUUGUGUCUUGUAAUAACACUUUUGGCUUAUGUAAUAUAGGAUAUAUAUAGAAGGGAGAUCAGGUACAGUAUAUUCAAGAUGAAUUAUGCUUGUGUAUGUCUAGAGAUCAAUUUAAAAAUAUUAUUAGAGUUUAAUUAUUACUAAGUGUUACAAAAAAAGAAAGAAAAGAGAUUGAUUACUACUUAGUAGAGUACCUAGUACAGUGUUUGUGUGUUUAUUCUUCCUAAGAAAAUUCUGUAAGAUCUUCUCAUCUAAUGUUCACUGAAUAUACACAUGGCCGGUGCUUCUUCAUUCAUGAAUUCGAGAGAAUAUAUUGUUUUUUUACCCCUUUUUUUUUUACUUUAGCCGAAACACAUCCAAACUCGGAAACUCCACCAAAUUAAAUAAAACAUGAUUAAGAGAAAUAGAAACUUGUGAGUCGCGUUAACAAGAAAGUUUUAACAUAAUGCCCAAAAAAACAAAACAAAACAAAAAGUCAUGAGAUGAGUUCUCUUCUCAUUUUACCAAAAUAAACUCUAAAUAAGCUGGAAACAAAACAUAGUAAAACUGCGGUAAAAAGGGUGGUAAAAUUCAGCAGUUACUCGGUAAAAAAAAAGAAAGAAAGAAAUUACCAUGCCGCCACAACACGGAGGACUCAGAGAAGAUCAGCAACAUUGCUUGGCAACUCUUCAACGACCACAUUGUAAAACUUCUGAAUAUCAGACAACAUCCUCUCAUCGUCAGUUGUCAUGAAGUUGAUCGCCACUCCCUUCCUCCCAAACCUUCCACUUCUUCCAAUACGGUGAAGGUAGUUCUCAGGUUGUGUUGGGAGGUCAAAGUUAAUCACCAGAGACACUUGCUGAACAUCAAUACCACGUGCAAGGAGGUCAGUGGUUAUGAGAACACGGGAAGAACCAGACCUGAACUCACGCAUGAUAAUGUCUCUCGUGUUCUGGUCCAUGUCUCCGUGCGUGGCUGAAACCGUGUGGUCACGGCUCCUCAUUUUAUCAGUCAACCAAUCAACCUUACGCCUUGUGUUCACAAAGAUGACACUCUGCGUGAUGGCUAGCGUCUCGUAGAGAUCACAAAGCGUCUCCAGCUUCCACUCUUCCUUGUCAACGUUGACGUAAAACUGCUUGAUACCUUCAAGAGUCAGCUCGUCACGCUUCACAAGGAUCCUCACCGGUUUGUUCAUGAACUUCCUUGUGAUCUCGAGAGCUUCAGGCGGCAUCGUGGCGGAGAAGACACCGACCUGAACCUUAGAAGGAAGAAGCUGGAAGAUGUCGUAUAUCUGAUCCUUGAAACCACGAGAGAGCAUCUCAUCAGCCUCAUCAAGAACAAACAUCUUCAUGGCAUCAGCGCGGAGAGAUUGUCUACGCAACAUGUCAAAGACACGACCAGGUGUUCCAACAACAACGUGGACACCAGACUGGAGAAUGCGUUGAUCCUCACGCACACUUGUUCCACCAACGCAGGCGUGAACCUUGACACCGAGGUAGUCACCAAGAGCCCUCAUAACCUUUUCAAUCUGCUGAGCGAGCUCUCUGGUGGGAGCCAGAACAAGAGCUUGGCAUUGAACGAGAGUAUAAUCAAGCUGCUGAAGAACGCCAGAGCAGAAGGUAGCGGUCUUUCCGGUUCCAGACUGAGCUUGCUGGAUCACAUCAAGACCUUUGCAGAAGGGAAUAAUCCCUCUCUGCUGAAUAGCAGAUGGCUUCUCAAAACCUGGAAUCAAAUUACCACUUAGAUUACAGAAAUUUAUGACAAGCUAUACUACAGAAGCUCAAUGAGUUUGUGUAAGAGUGACUAGGCCUAGGAAUUUCGGUUUGGUUUUCUCAGUUUUUGGUUUUUCGGUCCUAGAGAUAUAGGAUCAGUUUGGGUACUUAUGAAAUUUUGUUUGGUUUCUGUUAUUUCAGUUUUUGGUAUGGAUAACAAUGUUCGGAACUGGCUAAUACCCGAUAACAUAUUGGGUCUAAUUCGGUUUACAAACAGUAUAUUUAGAAUAUUCGAUUCUUUCAAACAUAAUAAAAUUAAUAUUUUUAGGUAUACAAACUAUAUUUUAAAAUUUUGGGUACUCAUUUCAUUCUCGGUUCAGUUCCGGUUUGUUUUUUUUAGGCUCUAGACACAGGAUCCUUGGGGAUAUUUAUGAAAUUUGGUUUGUUUGUUUUUUCGGUUCAGCGCAGUUCAGUUCCGGGUAAAUGUGCUUAGGGCUAAGAGUGACAUUAAGCUUUGAAGUAACUAAAAGAAAGACAGAACCAAAACAUAUACAAUGAAGAAAUAAAAAUUUGUACUGUCUCACUAACCGUAGGCAUAGAUGCCUCUCAGGAGAUCAGACUUGAGUUCCAUUGCGUCAAAGCUAUCACAGACUUCAUCAUAAGUGGUGUAGAAAGUUUCCUCUCCUUCCUCGCCGAGUCUGCAAAAACAUCAUAGACCUUAGUCUUGGUUAGCUACUUAGGUUAUAGAGUGAUUCAAAUGGUAAGUGAGAACUUACAUGGCAUUCAUCUUAGAAUCAAACUGACGAGGAUCGUAUUGUGUUCCUUCUGACGCCAUUCCUGCCAUGACUGGAGAGAUAUACAUAAACACAAACCAAAACGACAUCGUAAGAAACAAAAAAAAAUAGAUUUCAAAAAUCACACAAAGAAAACAUUCAAAUGUCUGAGAUCCGACAACAACUGGAAGGGAAAGCAAGAAUCAAAUGAAACCAAAACAUAACAAGUUGUCCCAAUGUGCAUUGUACAAAACUAGAUCUCUAACGAAUCAGCAUUGCGUAGGAUGAAACAAACACGAAUCAAAACCAGUAUCAGAGAAUCCAAACACACACAAAGUACAGAGAGAGAGAGAGAGGUUAAAUCAAACCUGCUGUUAGCACAAAGUGAAGAAGAGAGAUCUCGAGAGAGAAGAAAUGGUCAAAUGAGAGACGGAAACUCCUCGGAUCUGCGCCGUGGAGUUGAAGAAGAAGAAAGUAACUGCUUCUGCUUUAUAUACCUUCCACCGUCUUCUUUUUUUAGGUUUGAAAACCAAAACAAAUUUUAACAUUUUAUUUUGUUUACUGACUUGUCCUCCAACUUUUCAUUUUUACACCUUUUUCACUCUUGUUCCUUUUUCAACAUUAGUCCUAAUUCUAUACACUGACUUGAUUAAUAAUUCUGACUUGAUUAAUAAUUCUAUGAAUUGAAUUUUUUUUGUCAGCAAUCUAUGAAUUGAAUUAGAUAGUCCAUUUGUAAAUAAUUUUUUUUGUAUGCACAGAUAAAAAUAUUUUAAGAAUCAUAAUAAUUGAUUAAUAUUUUAAUUCUUUCAUUUUUAAAGUUUAUUUCAUUUUAUAAAUUAUAUAUAUGGAAAUAAAUACUAUUUAAUAAAUAAUAUAAAUCUUAUCUUGUCUAUAAAUGUAUUUUAUGUAUAAAAUAUGAUAAUUAAUUAAUUAAAUAAUAUAUAUAUUAUGUUGCAUUUUUUCAUCCGAGUUAAACCAUAAUUAUUUUGGAUUUUAAAUAAAUAAAACAAAUUAAUCAUGUUAUUUACAUUUAGCUCAGUUUGUCUUAUAAUUAUAAAUAUUUUUGGGAAAUAUUUUUUAAUUUUUAUAUGUUAUUUUAUAACUAAAUUAAAUUAUUACAGUCAUAAUUUUAAUUUUAAUCUUGAAUUGGUUAUUUAUUUUAAAGUUAAAUAUAACAUAAAAUUAUGAACGGACCAGAUGAUCAUAGGAUGAAUAUAUAAUUUAUAUGAUCACUUAUAUUGUUUAACACAUUUUUUAAUAAUUAUUAUAUCAUUGAGAUGAUAUUUUUAAGUAUUAUAUAUAUAUAUAUUCAAUAACAGCUAAAAUCUUAUGGAUAUUUCCUUUUCAGAACAUAUAUAUAUAUAUAUAUAUAUGUAUAUGGAAAUCUACAUCAAAUUCUUAUGAAUAUUUUUUAUGUUCUUUGAAAAUAAAUUAUAAUAAAAACCAAAAAUUAUUAAGUAAAGGGAAAAUAUAAAAUUUUAGUAAUGGCAUUUUGUAAACUGCUAAUUUUGAAAUGACGGUGUUACUUUAGUCAUUUGUUAAGAGUAAAAUGACAUUUCAGAUAUUAUAUAUAGUAUAUAUUCCAUAUCUAUAUAUUUUUUUAUAUUAUAAAAUUUUCAAAUAAAAUUUAAAUUAUAAAAAUAAAAAUGUCGUAAUAUUUAGAAAAACUUAAGUAAACUUAGUAAUUUUAGUAAAAUUUAGUAAAAAUUACUCUGUAAUUAUUAGUAAUUUUUAGUAAAAUUUAGUAAAAAUUACUCCGUAAUUAUUCAUCCAACAGAUUUUAAUUACUAAUAAUAUAUUUGAAUCAAUUUAAUAAAAUAAUAUAAAAGUAUAACCUUUUCCAGUUAGUAUUUCUUUUUACUUUAAAACCAUGUGCUAAUCUGUUUGUAUUAAAGUAUGGUUGUAACUAAAUUAUCUAUUUUUAGAAUAGAAUGAUGUGGAAUGAUUAAUUCCAUUAAAUUCUAUUAAAAAUAUUAUUUAAUGUGAAUAGAAUGUAAUGAUCAUUCAUCAAUUAUACACAAAAAAAUACAAAAAAAACUCUUCAAUAUAAUUUUGUUAAGGAAUAAAGAAAUGAUACUAUUCUAUGGUGAACAAGACAUUCAUUAUUUACAAACACGUUAUAUUUCUUAUAAGAGAAAGCAAAUCUUGUAAUACUUGAAAGACCAUUCGGUUGCAUUACCUUUCUCUUUUUUUUCCCACUCUCUGAGUUUAUGUAGUGAGUAAAAUGUUUCAGGUUCUUUACUCUUAUGUGUUGCUUGAGUAUAUAUUUUGUAUAGUGUUAAAAAAAAAAUUAUAUUGGAUGAAGAAUCUACUUACCUUGACAAUGAAUGUUACAAAAUCAAAUAUGAAUAACGAAAGAUUGAGUAAUGAAGAUUGAGUAAUGAAGGCCAUAAAGUAGAAAACAAAUUUAUUAACAAUCCAAUCAUUUGGGUUCCAUCAUGAUAAUGUACAAGGUAAAAACUUUUACGAAAUAUAUGUAGAAUAUAAUGCACUAUGGGUAUAUAUAAGAAGUAAGCUACUAACUUGAUAUGUCAUAAUCAUGACACUUCGCAAUGAUAAAAUGUUUGUGUACUCUUUUAAAAAAAAAUUAAUGUCUUAAAUGACCUUGUUUUUUAUUUGAGCGGUUGAGCCUUACUGACCUUUUUUUAACAUUCAAAUCUUUUCUUGUAAUUGGAUAUACGACAUAGUAAUCACGCUUUCCGCUACUGAAAGGCAACUUUGAACCAAUAUAUUUUGCUUCAUUAUAUAAUUUACAAAUAAAAUUCAAAAAUUAUUAAGUAAAGGGAAAAUAUAAAACUUUAGUAAUGACAUUUUGUAAACUGCUAAUUUUGAAAUUACGGUGUUACUUUAGUCAUUUGUUAAGAGUAAAAUGACAUUUCGCAUAUUAUAUAUAGUAUAUAUUCCAUAGGUAUAUAUUUGUUUCUAUUAUAAAAUUUUCACAUAAAAUUUAAAUUAUAAAAAUAAAAAUGUAGUAAUAUUUAGAAAAUAUUAAGUAAAUUUAGUAAAAAUUACUCUGUAAUUGUUUAGUAAUUUUAGUAAAAUUUAGUAAAAAUUACUCUGUAAUUGUUCAUCCAACAGAUUUUAAUUACUAAUAAUAUAUUUUAAUCAAUUUAAUAAAAUAAGAUAAAAGUAUAACUUACUUCAGUUAGUAUUUCUUUUUACUUUAAAACCAUGUGGUAAUCUGUUUGUAUUAAAGUAUGGCUGUAACUAAAUUAUCUAUUUUAGAAUAAAAUGAUGUGGAAUGAUUAAUUCUACUAAAUUCUAUUAAAAAUAUUAUUUAACGUGAAUAGAAUGUAAUGAUCAUUUCAUCAAUUAUACACAAAAAAUCCAAAAAAAAACCUUCAAAAGAAUUUUGUUAAGGAAUAAAAGAAUUGAUACUAUUCUAUGGUGAACAAGACCUUCAUUAUUUACAAACAUGUUAUACAUAAUUGUCUAUUCUAUCAAUUCAAGGUGUAUAUAAAAGCAAAAUGUAUAUGACCAGUAUAUAUAGCAAGCUAAGAUAUAUUAUAUGUUGUACAAAAAAAGAACAUAUUAUAUCUUUAGAAUAAUUGAAGCUUCCAUACUAAUUCUGAAUUCAUCCUUUUCGUUUGUCGAUCUUUUCCGAAAGCUAAUUCUAUUGCAUUUCGAUCAACAUCGUCUUUCCAAACAAACUCUCUUUGGUGGAGAUCAAUUUGAUGAAAGUACAUCAUUCAUUCGUGGAUGGUACUUGAACCCAACCCCUAUAGCAAUAGAGACAAUUAAUAUGGAGAGAACUUUGGGGCACUACGUGUUCUAUUUCUUAUAAGAGAAAGCAAAUCAUGCAAAACUUGAAAACCAUUCGGUUGCAUUACCAUUUUUUAUCCCCACUCUCCGAGUUCAUGCAGUGAGUAAAAUGUUUUGGGUUCUUUACUCUUAUGUGUUGCUUGAGUAUAUUUUGUAUAGUGUUAAUAAAAAAAAAUUAUGUUGGAUGAAGAAUCUACUUACCUUGACAAUGAAUGUUACAAAAUAAAUUAUGAAUAACGAAAGAUUAAGUAAUGAAGACCAUAAAGUAGUAUUAACAAUCCAAUCAUUUGAGUUCCAUCAUGAUUAUGUACAAGGUAAACACUUUUAAGAAAUAUAUGUAGAAUAUAAUGCACUAUGGGUAUAUAUAAGAAGUAAGCUACUAACUUGAUAUGUCAUAAUCAUGACACUUCGCUAUGAUAAAAUGUUUGUGUACUCUUUAAAAAAAAUUAAUGUCUUAAAUGACCUUGUUUUUUUAUUUGAGCCUUACUGAUAUUUUAACAUUCAAAACUUUUCUUGUAAUUGGAUAUACGCCAUAGUAAUCACGCUUUCCACUACUGAAAGGCAGCCUUGAACCAAUAUAUUUUGCUUCACUAUAUAAUUUACAAAUAAAAUUUUAAAAAGAAAAAAAAGGUAAUAUUUAGUAAUCUUGAAUAAAAUUAGUAAUUAUUUAUCCGGCAGAUUUUAAUUACUAAUAAUAUAAUUUAACUAAUUUAAUAAAAUAUUUGACUGUGUAUAAUAAAGACUAAUUACCUACUUCAAUUAGUAUUUUUUUUACUUUGAAACAAUGUGCUAAUCCGCUUGUAUCAAAGUAUAUGUUAUAUUUUACAUGAAGUCAGGUUCAAGUCCAUGGAGCAUCAAUGAUACUAGAGUUUUUGUUCUGUUUUCGGUAACAGGAGAAUUAAUUAGUCACCUUCAGUACUUGCUAAAACUUGGAUUCCAAAAAUACCCGUUUGCGGAACAGUAUUACAGGAUCAAUUGUAUGGAAGACUAAAAUAAGGUCAUUGUAACCACAAAUUGCUGGUUUAUGUCGAAAACUCUACCAUGAAUUUAAGAAUUUAACGUACCAAAUAUUAUAUUAAUUAUAUAGAAUUAAUGAAUGAACCUUUGCUUUCUAAUUUGUAUGAUUGUAAUAGGUUUACAAUAUGAGUUGUAAAAGUUACCUUGUCCUCAAUCAAAACCAUCUUGAUAGAAAUAGCUCUUGUGAAUAUUUUUCUAAAUCUUCAAAAUAUCAUCUUAAUAGUGAAUUAGCAUGAACAAUAAGUGUAGUUUUCUACAAAGAAAAAGAUUUUUUAGUAAUAAACUAAAAUUUUAGAUAUUGAUAUAUUUGUGUUGACAAUUUGGAUAUGAAAAUUAGUUAUUUACUUAUAUAGAUAAAUAUGGGCAUUGAAAUGUAAUUAGGAUUACAAAUUUAAACUAAAAAGACAAAUGUAUACAGUUAAAAAUAAAUUUAUUUAGAAAUAAAAAAUUAUGUAAUUAGAAAAUUAAAAUAAAAUAAAAUAUUCGUCAAAGUAUUCCUAACUGAUGUUAGUAAAUUUGUAAACAAAAAUAAUUAUUUAAAUAUCCUAAAUCAAUAUGUUUCUAACAAACAUGUAUAAAUAUGCAAAUAAGAGAAAAAAGACAUAUGCUUUUGUUAACAUGGCCAUGUAAUAAAUAUGUAAAUAUUUAACUAACUUGAGAAAAUUCCCUUUUUAUUAAAUCACAUAUUUCAAAUAUAUGAGAUUAUUGUAUACUUUAAAAUUUAAGAUAUUGUCACUUUGAUAUAAAAUCAAUUGAUAAAAAUUAUGAAUAUAAUGUUUUUUGUGAAAUUAAUGUGAAUGUAACACUUAGAAAACUUAUUUUAUAUAAGAUUAUAUAUAUUUUACAUAAAAAUAUAUGGUUGAAUUUCUAAAAAUAGAAUUAUUAUUAAUUAUUCAGACUAUUUGAAAACAGUGCAAAAACUAUUAAAUGUGAAUUUUAAUAAAUAAUUUAAUACAACAAGAAACGCAUCAGACAUACAUCCUUGUUAAACUAUAAAAAUUUCAGUUGUAAAAUCGUAAAAAUUUUAAUACGUAAUAAAAAUAAUAAAUCAGAAACUUUUUUAUUACAAUUUUUGAAUAAUUUAUUAUCUCCCGAAAUAACAUUAUAAUACAAAAUAUUACUCAAAAACAGAGGCUCACCUCUUAAAUUAGAGCUUCUUUUUUCGUAUAUAAUAUCAACAACUAAACCCGAGACUCACACGUCCCUUGCUGUGUGUGUACUGCUGGCCAUCAGAAGAAAGUCUUCAAAAUCACGAGUUUUGUCACCUAAGGAGACUGAUAAGCUCAAAGAUAUGUCUCAUAGACUCAAGCCAGGACCACAACCUCGCCACGAGAACCUGCAAAAGAACAUAUAAAUAACACAAAGUUUAGAGACAAUAAAACUCCAUACAUUAUAUUAUUAUUUUAGCUUGUUUCCUAAUGAAUAAAAAGAUAAUGCGCAAGUCACGCUUUUUACAUUGUUCAUGUAUAUCUUUAGUUAACUCCAGCAGAAGAUCAGUUUCCUCUGCAAGCUUAGUCGUCUUCUCCAACUCUUCCACUGCUACUUUGGCAACGUGUAUUUUAUUCUCUGCCACUACAACUUUACAUGCAACGGUUAUUGCAGCUUCGUCGAUCAUCUCUUGUGAAACUGAAGGGGUCGGAUUGUUUGUUUGCCGGAGUUUUAUUUUGUCUCUUUUAGUUUUGGAGCAGGUGUUCUUGUUGUUGUUUCUGAUCUAUCUGGUAGUUUAUAGAAGUUCAGUAACUGUUGAGUGUUGGAUCAAACAAGACACGAAUUAAAAGACAAAAAAGAGAUAUGGAGGAGAUGGUUUUGUAUGUGAAUUUAAAAAGAAAAUGUGGCAGAGAAGAAAUAGAGGUGAGGGUUCAAAGACUUACAGGUUUUGAGUUGCUAACCUUUAAAAGUUUGCCUGAGCAGAAAGCCUCCUCAGUAGUCUUGAACUAAGGACCCUUCUGAAAUUUGGUGGCACUUCAUGCCUUGGCUGCUCUUUCCAUAGUAAACCACAAGGUCCAUUAGGAAAGGUUGUAGCCACUAGGACGAAUUUAAAAGAAUAUAUAACAGAGACUGGCCCCAACUAGAGUAAAAUCAAGAUUAAUAUAACAUUUCUUAGAUAGGCAUAGUGGACAGCUUUAAAAUGAAUAGCAAAGAGAAACUUGUCUAACCUCAAUGAAGCUGAAAAUGGAUCACCAACAUCAGAUCCAUUUGCAUCCGCUAAAGCCGAGAGAGCUUCAAAUAUCAUCCCAUCAUACCUGAAAAUUAGCAACUCAUCAGAAGUUUUACCAAUGCAUAUAUUAAUAGAUGCACAACACAAGAAACUGAAGAAAAAAAGAAAGACAAACCUGGGAGCGUUUUUUGUAUCCACCACAAAGAUAUCAACGCUAAAAUCAGAAGAUGCACUGCGUGGAAGGGAAGUAGCUGGUGAAGAAGAAGAAGAGUUAGUUAACAUUAGGAGGUGGAGUAGAGGUAGAAAUUAUCUGAUUAAUCUGAAAACUUAAGUUACAUGACAUAUUUAAAUGGUCUAUUCAAAAUGAUCUGUAACUGAAGCUAAAUCAAACCAAAAUGAAUCUAAAUUGAACCAAAAUGAAUCUAAAUUGUUUAUAGGAUAUUAGUCAGUUUUUAGCAUUGUUAUCCGAGUUUAACCGAAAAACAAAAUCGUCAAAUCAAAAUAAGAUCAAAUUUAUAAAUAUAUGAAAAAAUUCGUUAUAUGUAUCUCUAAUAUCUGAAAAGAUUUAGAAAAAUUGAACUGAUCCAAAUUGAAAUGUGAACAGAAAAUUGAAUGCUAGGGGCUAGCCACAGUCCACAUAAACAAAAUUGGGUUUAGUUGACUUCAAUGAAAAGCUACGGGGCCAAAUUCGAAAUUACAGCGAAUAUCAAACGAAUCUAGACAACAAGUGGGAACGAGUCUGGUCUUUCAGACAGAACUAACGAAGUAGUUUCCCUAAAAAAAAAAGAAGUUAAAAACCCUAAAGACAACAAUUUUAAUUCCAUUUCAUUUCUCAUUUGCGCAACGUCGGAGAGAGAGCAGCUGCAUCACACAUUUCUCGGUCGCCCCUCCUUCUCUCUCUCUCUCCUGCGACCAUCGAAACCCUAAUCUCUCUCUUUCUCUCUAACUCUCAUCCUCAUGGCGGCGAACAACAACAGAUCCGAUCAAGAAUCAGACGAAAACACGCGUCUCUACAACCCUUACCAAAACUUCGAGGUCCCAAUAAAAUCUCAGUACCUCUACAAGCUUCCCACCUCCCCCGAGUACCUCUUCACGGAGGAGUCCUUAAAGCAGCGCCGCUCCUGGGGCGAGAAUCUCACCUUCUACACCGGAACCGCUUACCUCGGCGGCUCCGUCUCCGGCGCCACCGUCGGGAUCUUCACCGGAGUCAAGAACUUCGAAUCCGGCGACACGACGAAGCUGAAGAUCAACAGGAUCUUGAACUCGUCUGGUCACACGGGUCGAACGUGGGGUAACAGGAUCGGGAUCAUCGGGUUGAUGUACGCAGGGAUCGAGAGCGGCGUCGUGGCUGCGAUGGAUAGGGAUGAUGUUUGGACGAGCGUGGUGGCGGGUCUUGGAACCGGAGCGGUUUUUAGGGCGGCGCGUGGGGUGAGAUCUGCGGCGGUGGCGGGAGCUCUCGGUGGGUUGGCGGCUGGGGCUGUGGUUGCAGGGAAGCAAGUUGUGAAGCGGUAUGUGCCCAUAUGAUGAAGAGUGUGUCUAAUUGGGAAGACUCUCUGUCUUCUCGUUUGUUUGAAAUUUUUGAUAGAUUUGAUUAGGUUUUUCGUUUGGAAUCAUAAAGAUGAAAACUUUUUUUCAUUUGGGUUCUUAAGGUGUUUGAGUCUGUAUGUCAUUUUGAUGAAUAAAUCUGCAAACUUUUUUAUUGUUUUAUAUACUGAUGAAAUGGUAUAUUCAUUUGCCAUGAGUUUAUCGCUUCUUGGUUGUAGUUUCUGAUAAAUUAGUGUUCUUCGCUACAGUUUAUGCUAUCGUUUGAUUGAUCUAUGUGUUGUAUCAGACUUGAAGUGGUGAACAUUUUUUUUUCUAGAAUUUCUUAUCACUUUGUUCUCCUGUUGUUCUCAGAGUUACGCCUUUUCUGAUCCUGGUCCUUGUUGUCCCCUAUUGUUCACUGUCUUUAUAAAUAUCGUCUAGUUAUGUUUAUCUGGUUCUUUUCACUAGAACCAGUCACAAAUUCUGUUUUUUUUUUGGUUCUAUAUUGUAUAGGUAUGUUCCUUUGGUUGUUUAUUGUGUAGUUAUGUUUUUCAAAUAUUAAUACACAAAUACAGUAUUGUGUCUUCUGUUCUUUAGCAUUCUCUCAGUCUCCCAGAUGAUGUGGGAUCAGUCACAAACACUGUUUUGUGUUUUACCUUGGCAGUUUUGUUGUAUUGUUAAUUCAUUUCUGACGACUAUUAUCUUAGUUGCUGGUGAUUUCUUACAUGAUAUGAAACAAGUUAUGUCCUCAAGUAAUCCUUCUUGUAUCCUCUAAAACGUCUUAAAAUUGUAGUGUUUGCAGUUGCAUAGAGUUUCUGCAAAACUAUCUUCCAUUAGUAAACAAGUAUUCUUUUAAAGAGGGUUUCACUUUACAUCACCAAAACUAUAAAGAUGUUUCAUAUACAAUAUACUAAGCUCCAACACGCUAAGGGAGACCACCCCACUGAACUUUGGAUGGAGCACAACUCAUUAAAGACCAACGGUUGCCUUUGUACUGCCUUCUCUGUGCUCUUGGUGGUCUACUUUUUGGUACAGAAUGACUACGCAUCUUCAAAUGAGCACGCUCUUCUUGAGUCUCAGGUACUCUCGAAGUUAGCUUCUUGUUAAUCUACGUCCAAAUUCCAUGUAUUUUAGUAUCAAUACUCAAAUAGGAUUCAUCCUCUUUCUACAUGACACAAACAUAGUUCAUGGUCUAUAUCCAUUUUUCUAAGAAACUAACCUGAGAGGAAGGAACCGGGGCAAGUGGAUCUGGUUCGUCACAUUGUGAUAUCUGAGAUGUUAUGUCCUGAAUAGGUUCAUGAUCUUCUCUUGCAAACUCUCUAAGCCUCUUCAGAGCCGGUAACAGUACUGAAGCAAGAUCUGGUCUAUCCUUUUUCCUCAUCUCACAGCACUGCAAAGCCAAUUUAGCCAACUCAAGAGUCUCUUCUUCAGGCCAAUCUGAUACUUUUGGAUCCAAAACUUCACUUAGCUUGUUAUUCUCAAUCGCCGUCUCUACUCUAUGACCUAACCCCAUUGCUGGCAUGGCUGUUAUGAUUUGAAGAAGCACCACACCAAAAGAGUACAAAUCAGAUUUAACUCCAAGCAUUCCUGUUUGCUGAUACUCAGGGUCUAUGUAACAAAAUGUACCUAAAAGGAAAACAAACAUUGGUCAGAACCGGAUCUGAGAAUUUAGGGGCCAUAAACAUUUCUUAAGAAUUUUUAUAAAAAAAAAUUCUUCAUAUUUUGGGAGCCUAUGCUUAGGUCAAAAACCUACAAAAAUUUUGGGGCCAAGACCAAGUUUCAUUGGGCUUAGCUCAAAUCCGGCCACUGUGGUUCCAUGUUAAGAUAUCUUAGAUGGUAGAUAAGAUUCUUACCGGCUGCAGCGGUUAUAUGAUAGUCACUGACGCUAUUUGCACCACAUGGAGGUACUAGGCGAGCUAGACCAACAUCACUUAUCUUGCUAGUGAAGUGUCUGUCAAGUAGAAUGUUUGCUGGCUUCAGAUCACGAUGAACUAAUGGUUCAGGUUUUGCACUGUGAAGGAAAAGAAGUCCUGUACCAAUCUCAGCAGCGAUUCUGAACCUUGCUCUCCAAGAAAGUGGAGGUGUAUUGUCUUUGCAGAAGAGACGAUCCUCAAGUGUUCCAUUUUCCAUGUACUCAUAAACAAGACAACCAUAGUCAGGACAUGCACCGAGGAGGAUCACCAUGUUAGGGUGUCUCAUGCUACUCAGAACCUCAACCUCUUGUUGGAACUGUUUCAGGCCUUGUGUGAUACCUGACUUCAUGAGUUUUAUGGCGACAAAAGUGUAGUCCAGGACAGCCUUGUAGACAGGUCCGUACCCUCCUUCUCCAAUCUUUAGAGCAUCUGAGAAACCAUUGGUUGCUUCUUCAACAUCUUUGGUACUGUAACGUCUGUAAGAGACAUUAUUGGUCAUCUUUUGCUUCCCCAACUUGGCUUGCAGCUCAAGUAAUCUUCUCUUUUGGCUCUCCAUUUUGACUAACUGCUUUGCCAUUUCAGCUGCUUGGAUGUCUGAAUGUCUUUCCUGCUUCUCCUCAGACAAUGCUCUAAGCAUCUCUAAUGCUUCCUCUGCUUCAAGAUGUUGAUUCUGAACAUAAACCAUGUUAAUAUACUAGUAAGAAACUGAAGGACAGAAUGUCUACUUGAAUGUAAUGAUACUGACCAUGGAUGUAGAAGAGAUGGAGAUUCCUUUGGUAGUGGAACUUUGAGAGAUGGUGUAAGAAGUCAUAGUUGAGACCACACCAUAACUGCUAUUCUCAGUGUCUGACUGAGAAAACUCACUCAGAGAUUGUGGUGGCGAGAUGCGAGGUGAAUAGGAUUGAGAGGAAUAUGAAUUGGAGUUGUUGUAUUGAGCAGAUAGAGAUGAUUGUCUGCCAAAUUAAAUAUAAAUCAAAAAGGACAUUAUUACUCUCUCUCUUUCUUUCGUUUAAUUGUUGUUUUAUAGUUUAAUUUUUUUUUUUCAGUUUAAGUGUCAUUUUAUGUUUUCAAUACAUUUAUUUGAUAGUUUUUCCAAUUUACGCAUAUUUUAUCGGUACUUAACAUAAUCAAAUAAAAUAAUAUAUUAAUUAUGGGUAAAACAAAAAAAUUAAUGAUUUUCUAUGAAAGAAAAAAGAACUAAAUAUAAAACGAAAAGGAGAGAGUAUUUACUAAAAUCUUGUUGAAACAAGAACCAUGGUUUGAUAAUGGUUGGAAGAAAGUUGAGAUGUUACCUCUCUGAAUCACAGGAGCUCGUUGAAUCAUAAUUAUACAACAAAGAAGAGAGAUCUUGUUGUCUAUGACGAUGUUUCUGAGCCUGGCUUGCGGAUUUGCUUUUUUUCAGCUUAGCUUUAGACACAACAAAGACUGCACAAGUCUCUGGAGCUGUUUUAAGUAACGUGCUGGGCACGUCUGGACUCUUAAACUUUCUGGUCACAGAGAUGGACCAAUAAUGUUAGUAUUCAUACAAACCAAAGUCUAGUAUGAGAAUCAAUAAGAAAAAAAGAAAUAUAUACUUGAAAAAGGAUUUGUGAGCAGAUGAGCCAACAACAAUGUUUGAAAUGGAAUAGUUGGUGAUGUAGUUGACAAUAGCAUUGGAGAUGUCACUAUCUCGAAGCACAACCUCCUUGGCUAUAAUCUGACAAGCCAUUGUAUGGUAAGUAAUGAACCAUAAAGUGAUUUUCUGCAAUAAGGAGAUUGAGAAAUGAUUACUAACUCCUUUUCGAGCGCAGAAUCCUCUGAAAGGAAGAAACAACUGCUGUUCCUCGUCUUGAUUGUCAUGUUGUAAACAUGGUCUUAUGUUUCCUUCUGCAAAUUAAAUCGAAACCUAAUUAGAGUUCUGUUGACAUUGUUGUUUUAAUAUGAUUAGAGGUAGAGAGCAAGCUAUGCCUUUAGGUUGAACGUGGAGAAGGACACAAUGAGGAGAAUCGACAAGAAUGUUCUCAAUAGCCCAUUUCAAGGCGUGUUGGCUGUUCUUGUCUUUAUCAAUGGCGAUGGCCGUGAUUAAGCCAUUGUCUAUUCUUCUUGCAGACAUGUUGUUGGACUUGCUUCCCAAGAAACGUGAAUAGCCUGUUUCUUCAUAAGCAAACCAUAACACUUGUUAAUAUAUCACUUACAUCUUUAACCAAAAACGAUUGUGUUUGUUUUCUUUCGUUUGGCUCUGCAGCCUCUGAGAAGUAACAAUGGACGAUAACAGAAACAAACUUUUGUAUUGUGAAUGAUGAAGCUUUGAGUGGUUUUGUAUUUUUAGCUAUUUUUGGAAGGUUUUUCUCAACGACUCUCAACAGUCUUCUGAACAAACAAACGAAAAUGGAGAAUUUUAUAUCACAAUUCUUAAAUUAUCUUUAGAAAGUGGGAGUUGCUGGUGCAUUCCAGCUUGUUACUAUAAUUAAGCAUCGGUUCGAAUCAAAAGGGAGUCCGAUUAUUCAUUAACUAAUGCAACAUACUAUUCUGUGCUUUAGUCUUAUACAAAAUAUAUGGUGAUAGAUGAUAUAUAUAUAUAUAUAUAUAUAUAUAUAUAUAUAUAUAGUUUUACAGUAAAAUUGUAUAUUAAAAGUGUGAUUAUGUUAUUAUUUACCAUUCAAAAUAUUUAACGAAUUUUAGUAUUUUCAUCGUUUGUAAAAAUUAAUUUGCUAUAUCUGUAUUUGCACGUGUUAUAAACUAAUACAUAAAAGAAACAACACAGUGUUGUUUUUCUCCUUUUGGACAGAUAUCUGAAGCCAUAUGUGAACCCAGACCCGGAAGUGAAGUUCAUGCCGAGGUCAAGAGAAUAGUAGUAAGUGAUGGUUUUUGGGACAUAAUGAGCAACCAAGAAGUCUGUGAAAUAGCUAGGAAACUCGUAGUGUAUAUUUUUAGAAGCUCGAGUUGCAAUUUAUCUAUAUAUUACGAAGUAAUGGUGUCAUCAAAGGUGGACGUGCCGGAGUGGUUAUCGGGCAUGACUAGAAAUCAUGUGGGCUUUGCCCGCGCAGGUUCGAAUCCUGCCGUUCACGUUUUUUUUUGGUUUUUUUUUUCCCUGUUUUCCAUCUUUAUUAUUAUUUUCAUAACUUAAUCAUUCUACUAUGGUCGGUCAAGGAAACUUUUAUAAUCCAAGGCCCAGGGUCAUUUUUAGGGUUAACAAAAAAUAAAUCGUAUUUGUGAAUUAGUUUCGGUCAUUUCCUACUGUUUAAGUAAACCUAAUAUAUUACUUAAACAGCAGUCUAGGGUUUUCGUCUCUUCUGGUCUUCUCCAUGAAAUCUGGUGAAGCAGCUCCUGCUGUCGUGGUUAAGAGAGAGCCUGAAGAUGGUGACUUGGAGACCAAAACAAAUCUGAAGAAGCAGAAGAAAGACGUAACGGAAGGAUUGUUUUUUUUUUGCAACUGGUUUUUCAUAUUAAAUGCGAAAAAAAAAUAAAACGUUACAAGUCAGUGACUUCAGUUUGUUAUCGCAGCCCAAUAAUACAUAAUCAUAAAGCCCAAAAUACUACCAAAUCAAGAAUCAUAACUUAGCCCAAAUGGGCCCAAACUGGAGCAUAGAAAGUAACAGGGAGGGGAAAGGUUUGUUUCUGCGAUUAAGCAAAAGCUGAUCACGUCAACCACCGCUGCAUCAUGAUCGAAGCUGACGAAGGAUUAGCACUGCGAUACGAUAGAAUCCUGUCCUUCACUUGCCUGUCUAUUUGUAACAGGGAAGAUAAAUCCAAUCUAGAAACCCACCGAGGGUUCGAAGGUUGGUGAAUCAAAGGCCAGGAGAAGAUCACUGAGGAAGAAGGAUCAUCUCUAGAACAAGGAUUUUAAUGGUGAUGAUGGAUUAUGAUGUUUGAUGAAUGAUGAUGACGAUAGAGAGAAGAAGACUAAAGAGGAAUUAGGUUUAAUGUUAUUGAUUGAUUCCCCCUAAGUGAGAAAGAUAUUACAUAUAGUGUUUAGUAAACCAAAGACCUAAACCAAAGAACUGAACCAAACAUAAGUUACUAAACCAAAUGGGAUAGCUUUAAGCUGUCACAAUACUCCCUUCUUCAGAACAUCCUUGUCCUCAAGGAUGAUAGCUUGAGUACUUGGUCUGGAGGAUGCUCCUUCCACUGGACAAGACAUCUGGUGACAGCUUGAAUUUCUUUUGCCGGUUUAAGUAACAUCACCAAACUCUCUAUACAAGACUCAUGAAACUUUGAGGUUAACUUCAAAUUGCCGCCACGAUUUUGAUAAGUUUCAGGCCAAUCCAAGAGAGCUGCCUUUGCUGAUAACCCGCCAGGAUCCCAUACAUAUUUAGCCUCAAAACCGUGUAUACACAUCCCGUCAAUGAGAUGCAUUGCCUCCCGUGAACAAACCAUUUUCUCAUAAGUAGUAUGGAAAUAUGCUCUUGGUCGUCUCCACUCAGCUGUGACAACAGCAGUAAAACCCCAACGAGAGUGGACUCCAUAAUUAACUUCAGCUUCAGAAGUUUCUCUUAGCUUCCAUUUAAUCUCAUUUUCCAAUAUAAUGCAAUCUUCCUUGGAAGGAACAAGGUCGAAACUCACCUCAGCCAUAAGCACUUUCACCCUUCUGAACUUUCCCAAAGUUUCAUCAUCUAGUAGCUUCUCGUUUGGAUCAGGUGGUUUAUGAAUCUUAGCGCCAAAUUCAAAUGCACUAACUAGUAAUCUCGGCACGUCUUGAAACUCUGAAAGCAGUUCCUUAGUUUGAAUAUGAAGUUGUCUCGUCAGUCUCAAAUCUGAUGUUGCUGCAGAAACCCUCAAGCUCUUACAUUUCUCUGGCCAGUACCACUGAGCUGCUUCAGUUGGUAACCCACCUGGCUCCCAUAUGCGUUCAACCUGAGAGAGACAAACGCAGUGUUUCUCUUCAUUACCCGAGAUACAUAAAGCCCAAUAAUACAUAAUCAUAAAGCCCAAAAUACUACCAAAUCAAGAAUCAUAACUUAGCCCAAAUGGGCCCAAACUGGAGCAUAGAAAGUAACAGGGAGGGGAAAGGUUUGUUUCUGCGAUUAAGCAAAAGCUGAUCACGUCAACCACCGCUGCAUCAUGAUCGAAGCUGACGAAGGAUUAGCACUGCGAUACGAUAGAAUCCUGUCCUUCACUUGCCUGUCUAUUUGUAACAGGGAAGAUAAAUCCAAUCUAGAAACCCACCGAGGGUUCGAAGGUUGGUGAAUCAAAGGCCAGGAGAAGAUCACUGAGGAAGAAGGAUCAUCUCUAGAACAAGGAUUUUAAUGGUGAUGAUGGAUUAUGAUGUUUGAUGAAUGAUGAUGACGAUAGAGAGAAGAAGACUAAAGAGGAAUUAGGUUUAAUGUUAUUGAUUGAUUCCCCCUAAGUGAGAAAGAUAUUACAUAUAGUGUUUAGUAAACCAAAGACCUAAACCAAAGAACUGAACCAAACAUAAGUUACUAAACCAAAUGGGAUAGCUUUAAGCUGUCACACUAUUUGUCUGAUUAGGGUUGAUGCCGGCUUGAAUGUAUUCCGAUGAAUCCUAGAGUUACGGAAGGAUUGUUUGAUCAUCUAAAGCGGAUGGAAUCAAAAUUUGAUUUGUUGGUGACAAAGUUGGAUCUAUUGAUCUCAGUGGAAGGUAAGGGAGUUCAUGCCAAGAAGUUUUUAAAGGCCAAGGCUGAGAUCAGUUCAUCCGAGGAUGAAUCAUCUUCUUCUGAUGAUGAGGAUUCUGUGGAGAAACCUGUUGCUAAAGUUUCUUCUUCCUCCGAAUCAGAAAAUGAUUCAGAAGAUGAGAAGGAAACUCUGGCUACUAGUUCAGAUUCAUCAGAUGAUGAGGAAAGUGACCAAGGUGAAAAACCUGAGCAGAAAAUGGAGGGCAUUAGUGUUGAUUCUACUGAGAAAUCUGAUGAAAAGGAGCGUGAAGAUCGUUUCGGUUUUGCCCCUGGUCGUUUUAGGGGUGGUCCUUUAGGAUUCCGUGGUCGCGGUAGAGGUCGUUGGCCUUUUGGAGGUCCUUUUGUAGGUGGUCGUUGUGGUGGUCUUGGGCACUGUAGCGGCUGUUAAGGUUUUGUUGUGCGAGUAAUAAACCUCUUCUCUAGCUAUUUGUUUUUUUAACUUGUGAUUCAAAUUCAAUGCACCUUUUUUAUUACUUCGGUUCCUCUAUUUAAGCAAGUAUCAUACGGACAUGAACAUGCCCUAGAGACAAGAAUUGUUCCGGAAGAAACACACUUCAAAUCAAAGCAUAUUUUAAUCAACACCUAGAUUCAUUGUUCUUGAGAUACUCCUUAGAAGAACAUCCAUAACCGGACCAAACUCUGAAUUAACCUUAACCGGUGGGUUCGGCAACUUACAAUUACAAGCCAUCUCUUGUAUGUUCGUGGAAUGAUAAUACUCUGCUUAAACUUCAACCCAAGAAGAUGUCAAAUUAUAUAUCGCAACUUGCGACGGCUGGCUUGCACUGUCCAUAAAAAGUUGAACCGGCCAACCCGCGGAACUCCAUUCAUGAUGAUUAAAAUAUGUAUAUAGUUUUUAUGCUAUAAAUGUCAUUUUAGAAUGAAUGUGAUUUAUGAAAACAUAAGUCAUGAAGUUUUUCUUCUGUAAUGAUAUGCACUAGAUUGAAAAACAUUCAUUUUCCAAAAAAAAAGAACGAGAAACUAGAGAGAGAAUAAAAGAAUUAUAGAAGAACGAGAGACUAUAGCAGAUAUACUUUACAAUGUUCUUAUCAUUUGAAUUAUUUACAUAUAAUAUAUUUGUUUUCAAUUAUCAAUCGACACUGGUGUCAAAAAAUUAAGAAUAUUGAGAAUAACAAACAUAUAAUGAACUGAGAUACAAAAGUUAAAGAUAAUUCAUAAGCUUACUACAUGAGAUGAUUACAAAGAAAGUGAAGGUUACAAUAUUGAUAUAGAUUCAUUUUUUUUGUGUUAAAGUUAAAGUCAUAGCAAGAAAUACUAUAUGUUAUAAAGUAAAGGUUAGACAAAAUUUAAUAUGUCAAUCUAAAUUAAGCUGCAAAAAUUUUGUUUAAAAAUUGUAUAUUUGUUUGCAUAAAAUAAAUUAUAAAUAUAAAAUAAAAUGAAACAUAAGCAAUAUACUAAUAAAAUAUAAAAGAAACAAUGUCUUGAAUGGUUUCAAAUCGAAAACAGAGUUAAAGCUAACCAUUUGAUUGCUUGAGAUAAUGUUUUGAUAUAAGCAAAGUCGAGAAGAAAGGUGUGGUGAGUUUUCUAAAUUAUAGAAGCCGUAUAUUUAUACUAAAAAGGAAUCACCGUGUGGUCGUAUGGAUUCAAAAUAAUGGUCGUAACUAAAUCGAAUAUUACACAUAACUUGCGCUCCAAUCUUGGUCGAGAAUUACUUUAAUAUUGUAAAUAGUUAAUGCAAACUUCCUUUUAUCAAUCGCAAUUGAACAAAUUCAAGAAAGUUUACAAUUAUUAAUUGAUUACAAUAAUUUGAACCUUAAUUUACGUUUCUUAUACAUAAUAGUCAAGUCCUCGCAAAUCACAUAUUAUUAUCAUCAAUUUCCCAAAUUUGUAAUUUAAAAAUAUAUUAAAGUUAUUGGAAGUUUCCAUUUUCCCAAUCAUCAAUCAAUUUUGUCCUUGCAAAUCACGUUUGAAUCAUGGGCAAUUUGCUCUGCCAUUAUUUGCAUUAUGCAAACUGGCGUUAAAAUCUUAAUUACGAUAGAUCACCUAAGGUAAGCUUUUAUAAUUGUUUGCCAGAAAAUCGUAUUGUACCUUAGUUUCUACAAUCGCAUGACGGGGAUCAUCUAACAAUUUAAUGAAACGGGGCAAGUAUAUGCCAUAUGCAUGGUUCUUCCGUUUCACUAUUUUAAGAAAACAAAGUUUUCCUCUUGAUAUAUUUUUAAGAGGACAAAUUUUUUUUUCGCAUUUUUAAGAAAAUCAAUCACUUGAACACGUAUUGAUCAUCAAAUGCUUUUUAGGAUUUUUCAGAAAACAAACUUUGAUUGAUAAUCGCACAUUAAUUUUUUCGCAUCUAUAUUCGUUUUGAAUAAAAAUUUAGACCACUACAUAUGUCAAUAAUGUUUUUGUAUUGAAACAAAUUAAUGAAAAAACUCAGUCAAGGUAAUUAACAUAAUUUUAAACUCUUUGAUGUAAUACGUAGAACUUCAGUUAAGGUAACUAACGCAGGAAAUAAAUGAUAAGGUUUGAUGUAAUAUGUAUCAACGUAUAUAUGUGAAAAAUGUAGAAAAAACUAAGGUAAUUAUAAUGUUUUGAUCAAUGACAUGUUGUGUAAUUACUCUAGUUAACAAAGGGUUUUAAAUAGAAUAGGUGAGAGAGCUUGUGGAGUUGCCACAUAAGAAAUGACACACUUGUAAUAAACACAUGAACUAAAGGUUAUUUAUUUUUAAUGUUCCUCAAAUAAUAAAAAAAGGAUUAUAAAGUUACUAAAAGAAACAUAAACCUAAUUUAUGCUGUGCAGAUAUGAUAUACGGUUUUCUUUAAAUAUCUUGUUUAUUCUUGUUUUUAUUCAUUUGUAUUUUAAAUGGUUCAAUUUUUUUUCUUAAAGAUCUCUAUAAUAUUAUUUGAGAAGUCAGUUUCCUAUGUGUCGCUCUCACGUUAACUCUCACGAUGGUUGAUUACACUGAUACCCUUAAUGAAUUAACUUAAAUUUAAAAUACUAUUAUUUAUUAUUUUAUUUAGUUUUCUUUUAAAAAAAUUCUCAAAAAUAUACACAUAUAAUAAAAAGGAAAUUUUUUAUAAAGUUAAAAAAAAAUAAUUGAAAAACGAAAAUAUAUGUAUAUAUAAUAUGAUUUCAUAAAAAAGGAAAGUUCACAAAAUAGUAAUAUUACAUUUAAAAAAUAUUUUUAAAUAACAUAAAAUAUAAUGUUGAACUAAUAAAAUACUUUCUUUAUAUCUAUAUUUUCUUAGAUCAAAAUAUAAAUUUCUAUAUAAUGUAAGAGUUUCAAAAAUUUCUAUAUAAUGUAUUUUCUUAGAUCAAAAUACUACUUAUUUUUAAGAGUUUUAUAAAUUUAGUUGACUAUAAUAUCUUUCAAUUACAGCAAAAAAAUAUUGAUAAAUUAUAUUUUACUUAUAUAAUAUUAUUUUUAAAUACAAUCACAAUUUUUUACUGUUUAUUUUUAAGAGUUUCAUAAUUUAGUUGACUGUAAUAUCUUUCAAUUACAGCAUACAAAUAUCGACAAAUUAUAUUUUUUACUGCUUAUUUUUAAGAGAUAUAAAAAAAAAAACUAAAUUUUUUUAAAAAAAAUAAACAUCCUUAGAUCAAAUAGUUACAAAAUAGUUUAAUGAGACAGAUAUAUUAUAUUUUAUCAUUAUUAAAGUUAUUUUUUCUUAAUAUUAAAUAUUCUUUUAAAUUUUAUGUUUGUGGAACUUAAUAGAACAAUAAUCAAAAUACCAAAACAAAUCUGAAUUCUCAUUUUUAAGAUUAUUUAAAAUAAAUUUUAGUUUCCAUUCAAUAAAUCAAAGGCAUAAAGUUAUUUAGAAUUUUUAAAAUAUUUUAAUUAUUGUAAAUAUUGAUAUGUGUUUAUGAGCUUUCAAAAAUGUAUGAGCUACUUACGCAUGCCUAUUGAUCAUCGUUUUAUUAUCUAAUAUUUUUUUUACAAAUAUCAACAUAUAAUUUGAUAAAUAUUAUGAAAAUACAUGCACAUUAAAAUGAUAAAUAAAAUUGAUUUUAUUUGACUUAAAGAAAUGAUAUAUGAGUGAACUUUAGUUGAAUUCAUAUAUGCAAUCUAAUUUACCCAAAAAUCGACUGAAAAACAACAAAACUGAUUAGAUAUAACAUAUAUAAAAUUAUAUGUAUAAUUAAAAUAAUAUAGUAGUAUUAAUAUAAAUGAUGCAUAUAAAUUAUAAAUUAAUUUAAAAUUAAAAGUAAGUAGCAAUCAAUUAUUAUAAUUUAUUUACUUUAGAAAUAUUUAUAUAUGUGCAAGAACACGGGAAAAUCACCUAGUAAUAAAGUAUUUAUAAAACAUAUUUGUUUCAAGUAAUUCAUAGUUGUUAUCUAUACUAUACUAAAAGUGAGAUAUACUCAUCAUAUAACCUAUCCACGUCAUCUUUAAAUUCAGCCAAUGAGGGGGUUCUCUUUCGACAUUUCGCCAUUGAUUCUAACUUAAAGAGUAGAACUGGCCCUUUCGUUUAGGCUUUAAAAAUUUUCUAUGGCCCAGUUUAAACAUAAUACACGUAUUGCAGUCUGGUGUCUCUUCCACUUCCUCUCCACCAAUCCUUUCCUCUGUAAUUACUGUUACCUCUAUCCUUACUUCAACAAUCAAUGACCCACCUCUAUUAUUUUCGAUCCGUGUUUUGGGUUUCUCCGGCCCGCUACCGUCCUCUUAUGUGUCGCCUUUAGUUGAUUAGGGUUACCGUCUCCUUCGAGAUCCUUCGUUUGAGGGCGCUUCCUCUUCCACUAGAGUUCAGUUUUCUUAUGAACUCCAAUAAUAUAUUGUCUCGAAAAAAUAGGAGUCGAUCGAGUAUCUUCCCUGCAAAGGAGUGUCAACAAGUGAUGGAUGAGCAAGGUUCUUCUGGAGGUAAUCAUGAGAUAUGUUUCCUCUUUGUCGAUUUAAUGAGUUCAUGUUUCUGUUACGUAAAAUAAGAUUCGUGCUGAUAUACACAUGAGUGCUUGAAUUUAGUUACUUGAUCUCUGGAUUUUGACGGAUUCACUCUAGAUUUGUCAAUUGGGAUUUAUUUUCUGAAUGAUGUUUGUUAAUCAAAAGGCUGAGUUGAUUUUCACUAUUGUUUGAUUUUUUUUUUUAAAUGUCUUUGAUGUUGACAAGUUUGGUUAAUUCUUCAUCUUUUUUUCAGGUUAAGAUCAUCCAAUGGCUAAAUCAUCUACUUAAAUAUUCCAUGGUAAAUACUAGGGGUGGGCACUUUACCCGAUAUCCGAAGUGGCACCCGAACCCGAUCCGAAAAACCCGAACCGAAAUCCGAACCGAAGUAGCAAAAUACCCGAACGGGUAUUGAAUUAUGAGAGAUUGGAUACCCGAACCCGAAUGGAUAAUAUCCGAACCCAAAUGGAUAUCCGAAGAUAACCGAACAUAUGUCUAAUUAACCUUAUAUUUCUAGUUUACAUCUCUCAUUUUAUAUAAAAUAAUUAUAUUAAUACUACACAUACUUUAAGUUCAUAUGAUAUACAUACAAUUCCGGAAAAAAUGAUUUGCUACUCACUUAAAAAGUAUGUCAAGGUUUUUUAUUUCAAAAAUUAACAAAAAGUUACAUCCAAAAUUUUAAAACAAUAACUAAAUUAAUGCAUUUUUAGUUUUAAAAUGUUAUGUCCAAAUCUAUUAAUCAUUUAAUUUAUUAAAAAUAAAAAAGAAGUUAAUUAAAAUUUAUAUUCUUAAAUACAAGAAAUUUAAGAAAUGAAAAAUUUAAUUUUUUUUUUCAAAAUCUAAAUAUCCGAACCCGAUCCGAAAUAACCGAACCCGAACUAAAAAUACCCGAACCCGAUCCGAAAUAUAGAAAUACCCGAACGGGUUCUACACCUCUAUACCGAAAUACCCGAAAAUCCGAAAUACCCGACCCGAACCCGAACGGGUACCCGAACGCCCACCCCUAGUAAAUACUUAAGCGAUUAUCUAAACAGUUAUUUGACUAUCUCUUUUAUCUUUUUUAAAUAAAUAAAUAGAUUCAAGACGAAACCUGAUUUACAAGAUAUGUGACUCUGUUUUGAGUACUUUCAAAGUCUCGUCAUGAAAUAAAGAAAAAUGAAGCGCGUAUAGGAAAAGAAAAGUUGAGAUAUUUGAAUGCUGAAACUCCAUGGCUGUCGCAAGCUGAAACUGAAGCUGGUAAUCGGUAAUCUGGUAGAGAACCACAUCUCCAUGGAUUUCUCAUGCCUUUUGUUUCCCAUUCCUCGAACAGAAGAGACUCUUUUUCGAAUCUGUUAAUCUGGCUCUUUUAUAUUUAAUUGUUUCUGAUUAUCAUCUUUUUAUUGUCUCAUGUAGAAGGAUGAUAAUCAUAGCUUAGCUGUUUCCUACACCAGCUCUUCAACACAGGUCCCAAAGCUUAGGUCUUUCCUUUCAUGGGUCAACAAAAGUCUCAUACUUUUGAUGUUUCUCAAGGUGAAGAACUGUUCCUGUGAUAGAGGAGGGACCACGCGAGCAAAGGAAUCAGUUGUUUUCUGUUUUAGGGUCUCUCACUGAUCCAGAAGAAGAAGAAUCAAAGGACUCCUCAGAGGUUAACUCAAUGAGAAGUUUGCUCUUUGAUGUUGGUGUUUUGUGCCUUUCUCUCGCUGAUGAUUUUUUUGGUUAAUUGCAUGCAGGGACAGGUAACAGGUUGCUUAUGUAGAUAUUAAACUACCAAGAAGAAGAAGUUUGCAAGUGGAGUUCAGUUGCAACUCAUGCGGAGAGAGAACUAAACGGCUUAUCAACCGUUUGGCUUAUGAAUGUGGCAUUGUCUUUGUCCAGGUAUACCAGUCUUUGGUUUGCUUAAUUGUCCUGAAGAGACAUGUUAUAUGAUAGUCUUUAAAAGAGUUUUUUGUUUUGUUUUGGCAGUGUGGUGGAUGUCUUAAGCAUCAUAAGCUGGUUGACAAUCUUGGUCAUUGUUGAGUAGGACUUCCGCAAAGAAACCUCCAAGGAUUCAAGUACUGAUCAAAUUUGAUAUGACUUCCGAAAAAAAAAUGUAUUAUUUUUUAAUCAAAUGUGUUUGGUAUACAAUGGGGAAAAAUGUAGCUUUUGGAGUUGAUACAUAGGUGAUAUAGUGAGAAGAAAGCUAGAGACUUUAGGCUGUGAUAGCCAGCAGGAGGAGAGUUCCCAGUACAGUGCUGAGCCACAUUGCUACUCUUCCUUCUAGCUGGUUCAAGGCAUUUCCUCCGUUCUGUAAAACCAGAAAUUAAAGAUUGUUAUAUAAUUCAGUGUGGUGAUAGUGCGUUUCUUUUUAAAGAUUGUAGUUUAGUAAGAGAGUGUUACCACAUUCUGAAAUGGUGAUGGUGCUGGAGACGUUUCCUGGGAAUCUGUUAGAACUGGACGAGAUGGAGGGCUUGGAGGAGUUGGUGCUGGAGGUGGGGCAUGGUAAUGGCUCUUGUGUUUGUGCUUUUUCUUGUGCUUGGCAGGAGCUGGUGCUGGUGGUAGAGUUAUUGGUGUAAGCGCUAGAGGCGGUGAAGCUGGUGGUGCAGAAGGUGAUGCCUGUGGGGGAGAGGCCGGUGCAAGCGGUGGUGAGACGGUUGGAGCUGGCACAGGCGGGCUUUGUGGUGGUUGUGGAGGCUAGCUGCUGGGCUGAUAACUGGUGCAACCUUUGGAGCUGUGGUGGUGAGACGGUUGGUGUAACUUCUGGUGGAGGUGUAGUCGGAGAUGCUGGUGGCGGAGUAGCUGAAACGGGUGGAACAACUGUUGUUGGAGUCGUAGCUUAGCUCUUUCCUUCCAUGGGUCAACGAAAGUCUCAUAUUAUAAUAUAAAUUCAGAUUUCGGGGUGAUCAUUACAGCAUGUACUGAUUGUCAACUUUCUUAUUGAUAGUAGAUAACAAUUUUUGUAUAAUUCACUUAUUGUGCAUGAUUGUAUGCGGCAAAAGAUUCAGUCUAUGGUCUUGCCUAUGACGUUGUCAUAUCCUUGCUUCAGAAUCCUAGCAAUUAUGUACUAAAUUAAGAACAACAGAAGCGGAAUUUUAAAUGAAAAGUAUUUUAUUUUAUUUUUCACAUAAACAAUGUUUGAAAUAUUUUUAUUUCAGUAUUUAGCGGAUGUAAUGCAGAGAAAUGAGAGCAAAAGGAGUAUAAAACUUAGAAGAAGAAUGAAGAUUGUGAACAAAACACUCAAACACCAUCAAUGAUCACAAGAAGAGAAAUGUUUAAAAAGUGGGAGAGCGUUAGAACCUUCAGAAGAAGAUACCAAGUUUUUUUUCACUAUGAAGACUGAUAUAUGGUAUUUUAUACAUCUUGUAUAUAUGCUUUUAAAUUGGUUUUCAAGUCUUUAUCGAGUCUUCCUAGUCCUUUUGGAGUCAUUACAGGUCUGGAGUUGCAUUUGAUGGGAGAUGGAUCAGCUGGAACAAAAGAGGCCGAAAACAAUGCAAUUUGGUGGUUUUCACGCAGAACAGUCUUGAUGACUGUUCCGAGUGAGUGUUCCAGCGGCAGAGAUUUUUUUAGGAAACUACAAUCAUUACGGGAUUUGCCCUAAUUAUCUCUAUUUUCUCUCCCAGCCGCCUGUGGCUUUGAUAUAUCAUAUUUUCUGUUUCUCUUUAUCAUUCUACGCUGUUUUUGGGAGAAGAAACCAGACCUUAGAGUUGGAGACUUGUGAUUUGAUACUUUGUAAAGGGAGAAGGCUCCAUCUCUCUCACCAUAGAGAAGAACCCCCUGAACCCUUAUUCUAUUUUAUCUACACAUGUUUUAUUCAGUCUCUGUCUCUGUGUUUUCUUGCUCCAUGGCUGAGUAGUCAGCUUGCUUAGUCUAGGGUGUUAGGGUGUUAGAUCCGUGAGCUUGACAUAAAUAAGUUAUAAAUCGAUUGUCUUCAUUCACUGUUGUUCUUAAGGCUUGCAUCAAGUUAACCACUUAGUGCCUGAUUUUAGGUUUAAUCUAUUCAUCAAAAGUGUUAUAGGUUGCUAGACAUAACUUGAAUGAGCAUCAUAUCCCUAACCAGCGAAAGUAGAUGUUAGGGUAACAUGGAGUUCAGUUGCAACUCAUGCGGAGAGAUAACUAAACGGCUUAUCAACCGUUUGGCUUAUGAACGUGGCAUUGUCUUUGUCCAGGUAUACCAGUCUUUGGUUUGCUUAAUUGUCCUGAAGAGACAUGUUAUAUGAUAGUCUUUAAAGAGUUUUUUGUUUUGUUUUGGCAGUGUGGUGGAUGUCUUAAGCAUCAUAAGCUGGUUGACAAUCUUGGUCAUUGUUGAGUAGGACUUCCGCAAAGAAACCUCCAAGGAUUCAAGUACUGAUCAAAUUUGAUAUGACUUCCGAUAAAAAAUGUAAUAUUUUUUAAUCAAAUGUGUUUGGUAUACAAUGGGGAAAAAUGUAGCUUUUGGAGUUGAUACAUAGGUGAUAUAGUGAGAAGAAAGCUAGAGAUUUUAGGCUGUGAUAGCCAGCAGGAGGAGAGUUCCCAGUACAGUGCUGAGCCACAUUGCUACUCUUCCUUCUAGCUGGUUCAAGGCAUUUCCUCCGUUCUGUAAAAUCAGAAAUUAAAGAUUGUUAUAUAAUUCAGUGUGGUGAUAGUGCAUUUCUUUUUAAAGAUUGUAUUUUAGUAAGAGAGUGUUACCGCAUUCUGAAAUGGUGAUGGUGCUGUAGACGUGUCCUGGGAAUCUGUUAGAACUGGACGAGAUGGAAGGCUUGGAGGAGUUGGUGCUGGAGGUGGGGCAUGGUAAUGCCUCUUGUGUUUGUGCUUUUUCUUGUGCUUGGCUGGAGCUGGUGCUGGUGGUAGAGCUAUUGGUGUAAGCGCUAGAGGCGGUGAAGCUGGUGGUGCAGAAGGUGAUGCCUGUGGGGGAGAGGCCGGUGCAAGCGGUGGUGAGACGGUUGGAGCUGGCACAGGCAGGCUUUGUGGUGGUUGUGGAGGCUAGCUGCUGGGCUGAUAACUGGUGAUAGUAUGUAUCAUGACGAUUUUAAUUGAUUACUAAGAUAUGUUUUACAGAUUAGUAUUUUCAAAUUUUAUCUUCAUAUAGUUCUCAGAUGUCGAUUUUAGUGUAUUAGAGUGUAGUAUUUUAGCAGCCAAUAUAAGUGUUAUAGAGUAUAACCCAUUUACGGUUUAUCAUAAUGACUUCUCUUACUGUCUGAGCAAGUUCUAGUGAUCGGUUGCUUGUUGUCUGAGUUUGAUAGGUUCAGAAUCUCUUAAGUUUGUAGUAUUGUUUUCAUUAUGAUCGACUAAUAUACACUCCAUGGAUUCUUGUUUACAAUCGUUGGCUUUAUAAUCAGCUUCAGUUCACAAUCUAUUACUUAUUGUUUGAUUUCUGUAUUUCAAAGCUAGCUUCAAUUUAUAGUAUAAUGAUUAAAGAGUAAAGGUUGCAGAGAAACCUAUUGAUCAGCUUCAGUUUACAACUUAUUGUCAAAUAGAUAACAUUGCAGAAAAUCAAGGAAUGAUUGCAUAAAAUCAAGUAAACCACAAGAAAAUCCAGAAGCAAGUAAACAAAGCAAAUCGAGUAACAAACACCAUAAUGAAAAACAAGAAAAUCCAAAACAAAGACAUGUCUAAAUGGCUCUGUCACACGUAGCCCUGUUAUGAUUAUCUUCGCCACAUCGACUGCACCUGCGCCUCUUUUUUUCUUGAGCUCCUUGCGAUGAACGGAUCUUGUCUUCAACUGUCUCAUACCUGCGUUUUCUUCUCCUUCCUGCUCCUCGUCUUGAUUCAGGAGCUAGCACAUCAGCAUUCCGAACAGUAUCUGGAACCACCCAAAUAUCCUCAGGAACACCUAUUGGAUUGAUAGUUUCUUCAUAAGCUGUUCUCCAAGUGGAAGUCGUGUACAUGUCAUUCGUUNNNNNNNNNNNNNNNNNNNNNNNNNNNNNNNNNNNNNNNNNNNNNNNNNNNNNNNNNNNNNNNNNNNNNNNNNNNNNNNNNNNNNNNNNNNNNNNNNNNNNNNNNNNNNNNNNNNNNNNNNNNNNNNNNNNNNNNNNNNNNNNNNNNNNNNNNNNNNNNNNNNNNNNNNNNNNNNNNNNNNNNNNNNNNNNNNNNNNNNNNNNNNNNNNNNNNNNNNNNNNNNNNNNNNNNNNNNNNNNNNNNNNNNNNNNNNNNNNNNNNNNNNNNNNNNNNNNNNNNNNNNNNNNNNNNNNNNNNNNNNNNNNNNNNNNNNNNNNNNNNNNNNNNNNNNNNNNNNNNNNNNNNNNNNNNNNNNNNNNNNNNNNNNNNNNNNNNNNNNNNNNNNNNNNNNNNNNNNNNNNNNNNNNNNNNNNNNNNNNNNNNNNNNNNNNNNNNNNNNNNNNNNNNNNNNNNNNNNNNNNNNNNNNNNNNNNNNNNNNNNNNNNNNNNNNNNNNNNNNNNNNNNNNNNNNNNNNNNNNNNNNNNNNNNNNNNNNNNNNNNNNNNNNNNNNNNNNNNNNNCACAUUUUCAAGCGCCUUACAAAGUGAGUUAUUUCUGUCUGACACAAAAGCAAGAGCACGCUCGUCCGGAACAACAACCUUUAGUUGUCUGAAAAACCAAUCCCAUGAACGAUCAUUUUCUGAGUCCACAACCGCAAAUGCAAUAGGAUACAAGUUGGAGUUUCCAUCUAAAAUUGUCGCAACAAGCAAUACCCCUUUGUAUUUGCUCUUCAAAAAUGUCCCAUCAACAGCAAGAACUUUUCGCAUGGCUGUAUGAAAACCUCGUACUGAUUGCCCAAACGAAACGAAGAGAAAUCUGAAUUUACCAUCAACAUCGGUUUCGUAAAAGGUGUGUGUUCCUGGAUUAGCUUCUUUCAGCAUGUGCAAGUAUUUCAGAAUUUUUUCAAAACUCUGCUCGGGAAUGCCUCUAGCCAGACUAAUUGCAUACUCACGAGCAUCCCACGCUAAUGAUUUAGAUAUCUCACAUCCAUGUUCCAUUCUCAUAAUAUGUAUGAUAUCAUUAGCUUUGGGACCUUCUUUGACACCAUCAUACCUAUGCAUUAUUAGACUCCCAAUAGUUUUUGCAGAAGCUGUCCGACCACCAUUAUUCAUACUUGACGCAGCACAUGUAUGAUUCGCCACAUAUUUUUUGAUGAUGAAAUAUGUGGAUCCCGAUAACCCCUCAGCACGAACACUCCACUUACACUUGUUGUCCACGCAUCGGAUGUACCAAAGUUUUCUAUCUGAAUUCACCACUUUGUAAUCGAAGUUAUUCUUCAUUGCUGACAUUUCCAAUGCUGCUUUCAACUUUGAUUUGUUUUGAAACGUUUCACCCCUCUUCACAACAUCCUUCAAAGAGAACCAAACACUUUUUCCCCUAUCGUCUUCUUUUCCACAUAAGUCAACAUCUUUAUCUUCUUCCGAGGCGUUCGAGUUACAUUCGUCUUCAACAUCCUUGCUCGAUUCAGAUGAACUACCAAUGCCAUCUCGUGGUGAAAACGAGGAAGGCUCACCUAGCUCUCUGAAAGGCGAUUUAGAUUGCUCCCCAUCAAGCUCAAUGUUGUCGCUAUUUCCAUUGACAUGUGAAAUAGACACACACAACUUUGUAGAAGCUUUUCCACGUACAUAUGUAAGAAAAUUCUUGACUUGCCGAUCAUUCCCAAUGAUAACUGGGGGACAGUCUAUCGUACUGAUUAACUCCAUAGGUAAGUAGCUUAACUCAAGCACGACAUCGUUUUGGUCAAUUCAAAAAUCCUCAAAAGUCGUAGUCCUUAGAUCUUCAAAGGAACUUUUCAAUUCCACAGCCAGUACUGUACAUCCUUUUUCCUUAUCAAAAGCAAAUCUCCAUCCUUUACAUGGAUCAAAUUUCCACACUCCACAAGAGGCAUAGAUAUGCAUGUUCUUCAACAAUGGAUUCAAAUUUUUGGGGUGGUUUCAAAAUUAAUCAAGAACAUGUGAAGAAGAAGAGAGAGAUCACAGUCAUUUAAAAAAAAAAAUAACUUUAGGAAACACGUAAAAUUUGGGAAAAUAAAGAUUUACGGAAUAUUUUUCAACAUAUUUUGGAGAGAUUUAAGGAAUAUUUUCCUAAAUAAUUCGAAUUUGGCAGAACAUGCAUUCUGCUGCCAGUAGAUUGUAAUAUGAUGGUAGAUACGACGGCAGAAUGUAUAAUCCGGCAGAGAUAGGUUAUAGUAUCUUAGUAGAUAACGAAAUAUUUCCAUGAUAGAUUAUUAGUAACUUGCAGUUUCUGUGCUUCCCAGCCAAUAGAUAUAUAGGAAACAAUAGUUCAUGAAAUCUUUCGUGUUUCAGAUUGUAAGCAAAACCGUAACCUUUUUUUCUGCGGUAGUAGACCGAUUACCAAAUCGUAGAUUUUAACAUCUGUAAGCGCCAGAUAUCUAUGUAGUUAACCGAAACUACGAUCUACAUAGCCGUAGUUAGUAGAUUUUGUUUUCUGCUAUCUGAAGAUCAAAAUAUGAAAUUAUGUUUCACUAAUAUUUAGUCAACCUAAUUAUUUUUCAUAUGAUUUCCAUGUUUAUGUACAUUAAUAUUUUUUUCAUAAUUUUCUGACUCUUAAAAUAAUUGAUAUGAAUUUUUUAAGUUGGCUAGAGGUAUCUAAGUCCAAAUCUGACAAAAAAAGAUUUAUGGUAGAGAGACAAUGUAGUUGUUUUUCUGCCGUGUUUUGGCAAUUUUUUCAAAAAAAAAUGUGAAUCUACUAACUGGAAACGAGUGUGAAUGUGAAUCAAUAAUUGUUGAAAUCAAAUGAGCACUAUAUCAAAAUAUCUUGUUUCGUGUGGACCAAGAGGAAAGUCUAUCUUCAACUACUAUCUGCACACACUCUGUCUUCAAUUUCUCUCUGCAUCAUAUCUGACUUUCUCAGAUAAGUAAAAUUUCAAGUAUCUGCUUUUUUAUGUUCUUCUAUAAUGGGCAACUGCGUCUCCCUCUCGAUAUCUUCUGAUCAAUCGAUGAAAAAGGUAUGUCAAUGGCUAGACAUCCAAGUAGGUUAUGUUCACAACCUCGAGAAGAAUCUGGCGGGCAACCAUGGAAGAGCUCAAGGCUAAGCGUGAUGAUUUAUCAAGAAGGGUAACAAGAGAGGAGGAUAGAGGUUUACAAAGGCUUUCUGAAUUCCAGGUAUGGCUUACUAGAGUUGAGACUUUUGAAAACGAAGCCAACAAUCUUCUUAGUGCUAGAAAUGGUCAACUUCAAAGGCUUUGUCUUCUUGGUUUUUGCUCUAAGAGUUUAAUAUUGAGUUAUCGUUAUGGCAAAAGUGUUUCCAUGAAUUUAAGGGAGGUUGAAAAACUGAAUAGUAAAGUUUUCGAAGUGAUCGUUGAGCAAGCUCACACAUUUGAGGUGGAGGAAAGACAGCUUCAGUCAACAAUUGUUGGUCAGAAAGAAAUGUUGGAGAACGCAUGGAAUCAUCUCAUGGAAGAUCGAGUUGGUAUUAUGGGUUUGUACGGUAUGGGGGGAGUAGGGAAAACAACUCUUCUCACACAACUCAACAAUAAGUUCAGUGGCAUGACGUGUGGAUUUGAUUUUGUGAUUUGGGUUGUGGUGUCUAAAGAGUUACGAGUAGAGAAGAUUCAAAGUGAGAUCGCUCGGAAGGUUGGUCUUGAUGGAGAUGAAUGGAAACAAAAAGAGAAAAGCCAAAAAGCUGAUGUUAUAUACAAUUUCUUAAGGAAAAAGAGACUCCUGUUGUUUUUAGAUGACAUAUGGGAGAAGGUGGAUUUAGUUGAGAUUGGAAUCCCGUUUCCAACAACACAAAACCGAUGCAAAGUGGCAUUCACAACCCGUUCCAAGGCUAUAUGUGCGCACAUGGGCGUUGAAGAACCAAUGGAAGUCAAAUGCUUGUCGGAAGAUGACGCAUAUGAUUUGUUCCAAAAGAAGGUUGGACAAAUAACAUUAAGAAGUGAUCCAGGGAUCCCCGAACUUGCAAGAAAAGUUGCUAAGAAAUGUUGUGGCCUACCGUUGGCACUUAAUGUUGUAGGCGAGGCCAUGUCAUGCAAGAGGACGCUACAAGAAUGGUGUUACACGAUAGAUGUCUUGACUUCAUAUGCCGUAGAGUUUUCUGGCAUGAAAGAUAAAAUUCUUCCACUUUUGAAGUAUAGCUAUGAUAAUCUUGAGGUGGAGCAGGUCAAAACGUGUUUACUAUAUUGCACUUUAUUUCCCGAAGAUGAUAAAAUUCCUAAAGAGAAAUUGAUAAGCUUAUGGAUAUGCGAAGGGAUAAUAGACGGAAGUGGAGGUAUAGAAAGAGCUGAGAACAAGGGUUAUGAUAUAAUUGGUAGUCUUGUUCGUGCAUCACUGUUAACGGAUGUCAAAUGGUAUGGAACAGAGAAUGUAUGUAUGCAUGAUGUAGUUCGUGACUGAUAUGACUUUUCUAGUGGAUAAUCCAUAUAUAUAUAAUAGACAUAAAAUAAUUCUAAGCAGCUAGGGCCAGGCAUUUUAUAUGUUAUUCGUUUCGAUUAAAUCCAAAAAAUCCAGAUAUCCUGAGGUCUUCGGAGCAAAGAAAAUACUAAAAAUCAAUAUCCAUUAAAAACAAAGUAAUCACAUAUACGAAAAAAUUUAGAGAUGGAUAUCUACUAUGCUCCAUUCUGACUUUAGUACAUAUAUAUGUAUAUCUAUAAUUUAGUAUAGAGUUUUAAAUAUAUAAUCGUAUAUUGUUAUUAUUUUAACAUAUCGUUUUAUUAAUUUAAUUAUAAAAUUACUUAUGAAAAUAUUAAAUUAAGAAACUACAAUUUUCUCUUAAAAAAUAAUUUUAUAAGAAAAAUUUAUUAAUUUUUACAAUUAAUGAAACAAAAAAAUUCAUUAUUUUUUUUAUUUUAUUUGAUGCAAUAUAAUUUUUAAAAACAAAUUUAUAAAACUUUUCUAGAUUUACUUAUAUUGAACAAGUGGAUGAGGCAUUCAUAAAUAUCCAUAAAAUUUUGAAAAGAUUCACAAAUACUCACAAAUUUUCUAGAUAUCCAGAAAAUCGGAUAUCCAUAUUUUUUUUAAGAAAACCAAAAAAAAAAAUAUCAGAUUUUCAUUAAGUAUAAAACAAAUAACAAAUACUGAAAAUUAUGGUUAUAUUUGCUCUGUGUCCACCCUUACUCUCAGUGCUCUCAAAUGGUGUGAAAAAACACUCAUUUUUUACUCUAAGUAAUUCAACACAAAUUUAUUUAUAUACCCCUAAUCUAUUUUUUGGUGUGUUCACUAAAUACUUCUACUGAUACACCCAAUUUUAUUUAUAUACCCCUAAUCUAAUUUGUGUGUGAAAUAAAUACUUUUAUUGAUAUGUCCCUGACUUGACUUGUUGUUAUCAGAAGAAUAGUUGGAUGGUUGGUUUUGACUAGGGGUGUCAAUUAGGUAGGGGUGUUCAAUCCGGAUAUCGGUUCGGUUUCGGUUCGGUUUUUUCAGUUUUUCGGUAUUUCGGUUAGUAAAAUAUAACUACCAUUCUAAAUCCAUAUUUACUUCGGUUCGGUUCGGUUUAUAUACCGUCAGUUUUCGGUUUAUUCGGUUUUAUACCAUAAAACAUAAUUCUUUAUUUUGGGAUCAUAUUAUAUAAAUUUUAGAGUCUUGUUGUCAACACAUUCAUUUAUUAAAAAAUAUUAUAAGUUUAAAUAAAAGAACAAAAAUAAAAAAUGUUUCUAUCAUCUAAUAAAAUAAUCAAAUCUAUAAUUAAAAUCAAAGCUCAAAAUUUUGAUAAUGAAAAUAAAAAACAAAAAAUAAAACAGAAGCACGAAGCACAAAAAAUAAGUUAUUAUAUUCUUUCAUAUUUAGCGUUCAUCAAAGUCAUAUUUCUUCUAUUAAACAUGAAACUCUAUUCGUUUAUAGAUAAAAAAAAAUUGUGAAGAAUUUCCACUAAUUGUCAUCAUCAAAUUUAUAAUUUUUAUUUCAAUUUAGUCAAUGCUAAAUUAAAGCAAAAAGAUCAAAAGAGACUAAGAAAAUAAGAAGCAUGUUUGCGAUGAAUUGUUAUUUAAUUAUAGUUCAAGUGUUUUACAAAUCAGGACUAUUUUAUUACUGUAAAAAAUAUGGUAAUAGUUAUUGGCAAAAAAAUUAACUUAUAAUUUUCAUACGUUGUUAUAAAAUAUAUACAUACUUACAUGUUUCUAUUUUUUGAUCGGUUUUAUUCGGUUUAUUCGGUUUUAUCGGUUAUAUACCGAACCAUAUCCAAAUCCUACGGUUUUUUAAAAAUCUUAUCCAUUCGGUUUGUAUGGUAUAUACCAAAUCCAAACUAUAUUAUCUAUUUCGGUUUGGUUCGGUUCGGUACGGUUCGGUUUUGCCAUAUUGAACAGCCCUACAAUUAGGGCUCAAACCCGUUAAGCCCGUAAAUAUUUGAGCCCGACCCGGCCCGGAAAUAUUUUAGGCUUAGAAUUCAAAGUCUGGUCCGGCCCUUAUAGGGCUAUAGGGAUUUUCAGGCUUUUGUGGGCUUUUCAAAAAAUAAUUUGUCAUUGUCACUUCCAUCAUUUUAAUACCAGUGAAUUUUCAUAAAAAAAUUUUUCAUUUAAAAAAAAAAUAUAUAAAGUGAGUUUAAAUUUGGUUUUUUUAUUAAAAAUGUUUUAUCUUUUCGUAUGUUUUAGAAACAUAUUAUAAACAAACCAAAUUUAAUAAAAUUUAAAUAAUCAAAUAUAUAUUAAAACUAAACAUAUAAGAGAACAAAAUUUAUGAUAAACAUGGUCAAACGUUUCAUACUUUGUAUUUUGCAAUAAAAAACAUGUUGUACAUGAAAGAAGAAGGUACAUUUGCAAAAUUUAUAUUGUAACACUUGUAAUGAUGAAACAAUAAAGUGCAUUAACAACUUUUAUAUUUGCUUUAUUUGAGUUUGGAUAAACAUAUUAAAAUAAUAUAUCAAUACUAAUAAUGGUUUCGAUUACAAGAACGAUAAUAUUUAAGCUAAAAUUUAAAUUUCGGAUCUUCGGGUCGGCCCUAUCCUAAACGGGCUUAGUCCCAAGAUACCUGAAGCCCAAAUGGGCUUAGCCCGAAAGGCCCAAUUUUUUAUGGGCUUAUAAAACUAAGCCCAAACCCGGUAAUUUUUAGGGCCGGGCGGGAUCGGACUGCGGGCUUCGACCCUAAUUGACAUGUCUAGUUUUGACUUUCAAGUAAUAUGCUUUCCAGAUGUGUUCAUAAGCCAUCUCCAACGCAAAGGCAAAAAACAUCAUUUUAGUGUAAUUUUUACACUAAAAUUUUUCCAACCAAAAUUUAAUAACCAUAUUAUUUUAGUGUAGAAGCUACGGUACCACACCAAAUUCUGUAUUCACAACACUAAACACUAAUUACUUACUUUUAAUAAUAAUAUAUUAGUUAAAUAAAUAUUGGUGGUAACAUAAAUACAUAGAAAUAGAAAAUAAAUAUAUAGAAUAAAUCUAUUACACAUAUAUUGAAAUAUUUUAUUUUAUUUUAUUAGUAUUAUUAUAUGUCAAAAUAGUAAAUAUUUAUUUAAAAAAAAUAUAUUAGUGUGAUAUAUUUUUGUGCAAUCUAAUUACAUACGAAAUUUUAUUUAUAUAUAGAUUUGAUAGUAAAAAUCUAAGUUAAUAAUAUAUAAAAAAAAAUAUUUUGUGUAAAAUUUGGUGUUGUGGUUGGAAAAUGAAAUUUUCUUAGUGAUAAAACUACACUGAAAAGAUGUGGAUUUCACACAAAAAUUGUGUUAUGGGUUAGAGAUGCAGCUAAUUUUCCUUUGUCUGGUGCCCAAAAUAAAUUAUCGUUUAUGUAUACUAGGUGGUUUAUUCGCGAAUUCGCGGAUAUAAAUAUUGUAUAAAUAUAUAUAUAUAUAUAUAUAUAUAUAUAUAUCAUACAUACAAUACUUUAAAUUUGGAAUAAUAAUUUGAAAAAAGAUUCAUAUUGUAUUUUUGGAACGUGAGAUUUAGUGAUAAUUAAAUUAUAUUAAUCUAAGUUGCUAAAAAUAUUUAUUUUACAUGAUCUUGAUUAAAUGGUUAACAAAUUCAUGAUUAGGUGAACCAAAAAAAAACUAUUUUAAAACAUUUUAUAAUCAUGGCAUUAUCUUAUAUAUCACUUCUUUUAACUUUGAUGCAAAGUAAUUCUCAAUUGAAAAGUUUUCAUAAGUUUGAUAAAAUAACUGAUAACUAUUUAGUUAUAAAAAAUAAUAGUGGAAUUACAGACCUAAUUAUCAUAUUAACUUCUCCAACACAUAUUAUACAUCAUCUUUGUACUUCUCUUUUUCAUUCUCCUCUUAUUUCUCACAUUAUCAUUUCUUUCUUUUGCCAAAAAUCUCUAUAUACUGCUCUAAAUAAUAACACAAACAAUACAAUCAAAAUUAAAAAUCAUCGACCAAUCAAAUUAUAACAAUUUCUUAAUUUUUCACCAGUGAUCGACAGAUAAGGAAAAAUCACUUAAGUGACUUCUCAUUUAAUAUAUAUGAAGAUAUUUUUUUAUUUUUUUAAUAAUGUUUUAUAAAGCAUGUGUAGACUUUAUAAGAUUUUAUAGUUAUUAUAUAAUUGUAUAAGAAUAUAGGUUGUUGUUUAAAAUAUAAAAUUAUUAUAUUUAGUUUCAUACAAAAAAGUUUCGUUUAUUAUAUUUUAUAGUUUAUAAAUAUUAAAAUAAUUGAUAAAACAUUAUUAGUCUUUCUAUAGUUUUGAGAUUUAGUUACCAUAAGUUAUUAUCUAUCUAUAUAUAUAUAUAAUAAUAAUAAUAUUUUCUCCCUGCUGGUGAAGACACUUAGGAUGCCAAGUCACAAAAUCGACUCUUGUGAACGUGACAUGUGUCUAGGCCAAUGAAACUCUAAGUUUCAUUUAAUCUGCACCGUCGUCAUGGGCUUUGGUUGGGUAUUUACGUGUUUAGGCUGUAAAUCAGAUUUUUCUCUCUCUUAAGUAUUACACGUCAUCAAAACCCACAACAAACUUUGGCACCGUUGCAGAGGUUGAUGACAUUCAAAGGUCGUCAUUAAAGCUUUAAUUAACACAUCCACUCCCCAGGCAAUCUCUCACACAAUACUCCUAUUUUCUUCUAUGAGCGAAUCUAAAGCUAUAAAUAUGUUAGUUUCUCUGCGUAAAAUUCAUUUGUUAUCAUUCUACGUUUAGAGAUUCAUCGAUCAUAAUCAUCAUCAUGUACAAAGAUCCAUGUCUCUUUGCAAUAUUAACCUCCAUUUAAAGAGGUUUUCUCUUGGAAAAUACUUUAAUCUCUCUGCCGCCGACUCAAAUUAGAAGCCAAAGUGUUUGUGCUCUCCGCGAUGCACCUUGGAUCAUUCCGCUGCGGUUUUCACCGCGGAUUAGAAAACGAGAGUGUCAGAAUCCUAGCUUCGUCAAACAAGUGUACUAACACGAGGAAGAGUAUUUCUGGGUUAAUUCUAGGAAAAUUGGUUUUGGUGAAUUCGCUAUAACUGUUUAAGUUACUUGACGGAGAGUAUUGUUAAUUUAAACCGCCGUCUUUCCAUAUGUGCACCGUCAUGAGUUCCGGCCAAUCUACGUAAUGCAUAAUCACGUUAGAAUAAAUAGGAAUCUAGGUUUCUCGAAAUUAGUUUUUUUGUUUCUUGCGUUUAGGAAUUAUAUUUUGGUUAUGUGUAUGUACAUCAUGAUGUCAUCAGCAGGACCCGUAUUCUCACUUUGUUUUCUUAAUAUUCCAUUGUAUAUAAACUAAUUUAUAAGAAACUGUUGAUCUUUUAAACGUUCUCAACUCUAUAUUUUUCACUUUUGGUAUGUCUGACUAUAACUUUUCAUUCGAUGUUUAUACAAUGAUAGAUACUCAGAUACAGCAAGUACAUAUGUUAUUAAUGGUUUCUUUCUAAUAUUGAUGAUGAUGCAACUUAUGUUGAACACCCCUUAUACAUAGAAAAGUGAAAAGAAAAGAAGAUACUGAGAAUCACAUAUUGUGUUCUUUUUCUUAUCUCAAAUUUCAACAAAGCUAACGAUCCCAAGAAAAAAAAAAAAUACAAUCUUUUUUUUCUUGGGAUCGUUAGCGUUGUUGAAAUUUGAGAUCAAUAUAGUAGCAACUAUAGAGAAUCUUUUAUUUUCGUACAUGACAAGCUACUAAGAACAAAAAUAUAUUCAUAAUAACAAUAGAUAUUAUAACAUAUGAAUGUGGGUUAACCCUCUCUGCUCAUGUGAACCUCAUCAAAAUAAGUUGUCUAAAAAUUUGACACUAUAAUUUUUAAAAAUGUAUUAAACACUCUAUAUUACUUAUCAUCGUAUUCUAUUAAAUAAAAUUAUUAAUAAAAUGUUUAAUAACCCAAAAGUUCUUUUUAAUCAAUAGUUUAAUUACAAUCUAACAAAAAAAUUCAUCAAUGCAAAAUUAUUUUAGCACGCAAUAUAUAAUAUCAUCUAAAGUACAUACACUUCAAAAGAAGAAUAAAAAUAAUUUUUGUAGUGAUAUUGUGUCUUCAAUUUUUAUCAAAAGCAAAUAAAAAGCGUAAAGCUUAUGAAAUGAUUCCACCAUUUUAUCACGAAGCUCAAGAUUAGAAAAUUAAAAAAUAAAGAAAAAAUGUAACCAAAUAUUAAUACAUAAUAGAUUAAAAAAUAGUUUCUACAAAAAUAACACCACAAUAAAAAAAUUAAUAGAUAAUCAAAAGUCAAAACUAAUUGUUAGGAAAAAUAGAAUAAAAUACAGAAAUAAGAAAAUAAUAUAAAAACAAAAAUAAAUAUUUUUUUAUAUAAAAGAGAUAUGUUAUGUUAUUCUAACUAAAUAAAUAUAGAAUGUUUUUAAAAUAUUUAUGUCAGGAAUUCUAAAAAAAAAUUAUAAACAUAGAUCCACAACUGUGUAAAAAUACAAAUAUAUAGUUGUAUAGUCGAAUAAGAGACACACGAUAUAAAAUAAUGUAAUAGAAUGAAUAAAACUAGAUAACUUCAAAUUAAAAAAAAUAAAUCAACAAUUCUACACCAUUAAAAUAAAAACAUAAUAAAAUUUCAAAUAAACAAUCUUAUUAAUCGUAAGGAAAUAUUUAGUUAAUUGUAAUGAGAAUGAAACUGAAUAAGAAAUAACAAUCAAUAAAAUAAUGAUUCAUACUAAUAUAGAACAAAACAUUUUAAAAUAAAAACAAAUAUUAAACAAAAAUCAAAAAUAUUACUCUAACUAUUUAAAUUAUUUUCAAAUUAUCAUCCCGCUCGUAAGGCGGGUCAGCCCUAGUUUUUUUAAUAUUCUUUAGAUUAUUUGAAAAGUGAUAUCAAUUGGUUCUAGACUUACCAUUAAUUUUUAGAUCUAAUUUAAAUAAAUCAAAAGAAGGAUCUUUGAGAGAUCAUAGAUGCAGCCAAUACAACAAAACUUUAGAUAUUCAAUUCUAAAACACUGGUUUGAUCUGACAACCCUAGCAUAUAUUCAAUAUAUAUAAGAAAAUGUAUAUUUAUUCAUACAUAUUGGUUCAAUCUUACAACCCUAGCAUCUAUCCAAGAUGUACAUAUAUAGUUUCAAUUAGUUAUUUUCUAUGCUUUUUUGUUGACCCAGGGGCAGACCAAGACCCAACUGACUAAUCGUUGGAGACCAGUCCACUCCACCGGCACCAAAUAGAUUAGGUUGCUCGAAAGGGAGUUAGACAUCUAUGUCACAUGUCAACACAUAUGAGUAAUCUGAGUGUGAGGUUUCGAAUCCGGAUCAUUUAAGGACUUUCCGAUCCGCCUUCGCCACCCGGCCACAUCCGCGUAGUUUGUUACUUCAAUGUUUGCUAAGAAUAUUAUGUGGAUGUUUGAUUUUUUCUAUCUCAACACCUUUCAGUCCAUGCAAUUGUGCUAAUUCUUGUUGCAGUUUAUAUAGCUCUUGAUUGUGCUAGCUAGCAUAUAAGACACAACUUCAAAAUAUUUAGUUUAUUCUGUCUUCUCGAACCCCAUUCAUUUAAAUCACUAGACGAAAACAACACCACAACUAGAUCCAAUAUUAUACCAAGCAAAGGCUCUUCAAUACUAAAAAAUCAUUCAUAACUAAAAUGUUCCUAUAUUUUUUUUAGAUCAUCACAAGUUAAUUAAAACAGAGCCAAAAAGGAUUCAGAAAAACAUGGAAAAUAAACACGUCUUACAAACAAAAUUACCGUAGAUACGUAUUCCCAACUUAUCCAUUAAAAAGGAUAUUUUUAUGUUGUUCUUGGGAAUCCUUCCAAUAUUUAUCCUACACUUUUUAUUUAUUACGUUCUACUUUAUUUGUUUGUCUAGAACUUAUGCUCCGAAUAGAUAAAAAAAACGGAUCAGACGAUGCUCAUCUAGUGAAAUUAAGCAGAUCAACUGAAAUAAGUGCGGAUCGAACGGAUCCAGUCAUACAAGAGUGGAUCAAGUGGAUCUAAUAGUUUAAAAUAUAUGUACGAAGGAUGAAAGUGUAUAAAAUGUGGUUCAAAACACUGUAUCAACUUAGAAUAAUUUAUAUAAGAUUUAAGUUAGGAUUAUUUUGUAUUAACUUUUCAUAAAAUAAAUUAACUAAUAAAAAAAUAUGUAUAUAAACAGCAUAUUAAAAUUACACAUUCAAAUACAACUGGAUUUUUAAUUAGUUUUUUUUAAAUAUAACUUAAUUGUAUAAAUAAUACUUCAGUUUUUAUUUUUGAAAAUAUAUAAACCGUAUUAUUAUAAUAUAUAGUAACUAAACAAUGCAUUUUGUAUUAGAACAUCUAAAACUUAGCUAUACAUGUACCAAUCAUAUUACAUGUAUGUGAUAAGCUAAGUAAAAGAAAUUUUUUUAAAUUAUACAAACAAAAAAGUAAAUUUUAAUUUAUAACAUUAUUUUAAUUUAAAACUUAAGUUGUGGUGGUUCAGAGAUGUCAUCUAUGGUUUCCCCAAUGCUGUUCCGGCGGUUUCUCUCUCAUUUGUUUAUCCCUCUUAUAGCUCUUCGCUUCAAUUUGCCGAUGAGGCUUUGUUGACUGGUGUCGUCAGUGUAUGCUCUAUGUUUCUCAGUUUUCAAGUUGGUUCCAACAGAUAGACGUCAUAUAAUUGUUCAUUUCUUUGGUUCUCAAAACAGCGUUUGGUGAGGCGUGUGUGGUUUCAGUUUGUCAUAUGUCUUCAUUAGCCCUAAGUGAAUCCAAACUAAGAAGCAUAAUUUCCAUGUGCCAUGAACGUCACUUGAUACUCAUGGUAAUGUUGGUAGCAGUUGCUGUCUCAAACCCGGUUUUCUGCACCCCACCAUUGGUGUUUUUCGUCGUCGUUAAUUUUGUCAAUGUGCAGAUUUUUGACGGUAAAGUAGACUUUGUACAACAUGCUUUUGGAUGUUUUUUUUUGGGUAAGCAUCUUCAGCCUUCUGUGCUCUAUUUUCGCAUGGCGCUUAAAUGAUAAUGGAAGUUACAAUUCUUGAUGAGCCCAUCGGAAGCCAACUACUCUGGUGACGACAUGGGAAGAUCCCAGCAUCUGAGUAAACAAGGAGAAUCUCUUUUUUCGUGGUUUUCGUUGAAAGUUGAAAACAGUAAUCGAUUCUCAAGGAAAUAGGAUUUGAUCUACUAGAAUGCGUCAAAGACAUGAGUUGAGGGAAAUUAGAUUAGAAAAUUUAUGGAUUUGAGUGCUUUUGUUCGAGUCAGGCUUGUAAUUGAAACUUUAUUCCCGAUUUCGGAUUCGGUUUAAAAUGUUUGCUUAAAUUUUUUUUAGGAAAGAUCAUGUGUUUAAUAGUGUAGAAAACAAAGAACCGGGGUAUUUUGCACUCUGGUAAAAGAUAUGAGUUGCAGCAGAAAUACCAAAAAAAAAAUGUGUAGGCCAAUUUAUCAAAUGGAAGAUUGAUAUUCUGGUACUGGGCUUCGUGGUUGUGAAGGCCCAAAUAAAUAUGGUAAAACGAGUGCAUAGCAUAUCUCUACAAUAUCUCUCCAGUCGCGCUUCCGACCGUCCGCAGCCGAGAAAAGUAAUAGAUAAGUGAGAAUUGUAACAUACACUGUAUAAUUAUAUACAUGAAAAGUAAUAUAUAUUGACCCACUUGAAAAUUUUGUAUUCUCGUUACCACACUUUUUUUCUAACUACCCUAUCAUAUUUUUCAUUCUCUUUAUUACCUUCAACUAUUAUAUUAUAGAUUAGUUAAAAAAAAACUAUUAUAUUAUUAUCUAUUUCUCGCGGAUCCCACGCCUUAUUUCUAAUUUUAAAAAUAAAAAGCGAAUCCCUCAUCCCACAUAAAGUCCAUAAUUAAUUGCACACCUAACAUGCGACCCCACACCCCACCUACCUCUUUCCUUCCCACAGCUGUCCAUAUGUUCCUUUUUUCAGAUCUUGCUCUUUUUUUUCCAACAACCUGCUAAUGUUUCUUCCCCUUCAAGCUCCAUUAGCGUUUUUUGAAGGUUCUUUUGACGAAAAUUGGUACGAUUUUUUCAUGAAAUUUUCAUACUAAUAUACUACUUAUGUUCUAUGUGUUAUGAGUAACGAAAAAAAUAAAAACUUAGCUGUAAAAAUCGUGAAAGUUUUCAAAGAAAAAUGAAAAUAAAAUUUGAAGAAGGUUCUCUUUUUUUUAACAAGAUUUUGAUAGGAAAAAAACAAAAAAAUGGUGUUAGACGAUAAUGUGGGUUUUGUAACACGUUAUUUGUUGAUUAAACAGGCUUAAACCGAUGAAAGAUUAAAGUUUUAGGUAUAUUGAUAUGAAAAUGAUGUUUGAGGACUAUUUUGUAUAUUUCUGCUAAUUUUUCACUGUUUUAAAGUAAAAUAAUACAUUACAAUAUUGGUAGACGAUAUUGUGGGUUGUAUAAUACCCUCUUGGUCAGUUAAAAUGGUUAAAUCAACAAAAAUAAAAAUUUAUAGAAACUACUGGAAUUACUAGUACUACUAAGCUAAAACGUGUAUUACUUGUAUUACUAAAUCGAGUAUGUACCAAAGAUCUUGGACGACUUAGAUUCUUUAAACGGUUAACUAAUCCUAAUUUUUGUUUCAGGUAAUCUAUGACAUCUCCUAUUACAAUCAUAUGUUUUGAUUACGGAGGAAGUUACAUCAAAGAUGGGGGUGAGAGAAGAUGGGUCUCGGGAGAAGAUAAAAUUCACACUCUAGUGAUGAAGACAGCUGUGGAAGAGAUUACGUAUUCUGAAUUGGUUGAGAGUAUAUGCAGAAAGAUUAAGGCAAAUGGAGAUGGGAUGGUGAAGAUUAGUUACUUUCCAAUGGUAUUGUAUUCGAACAAGCCAUCAUAUAUUUGGUGUGAUGAAGACGUUUUGGGUUAUCUCAUGCAAGUAAAUCAUGAUAAAUGUAGAAGUGUUUUACAUGUGGAGAUCAGCAGCGACAUGGAUGAUACAUAUGGUGGUAUGUCACUUUCAGGAGAUGAUGAUGAAACUGAUGAUAGUUAUGUUGGUCUUUCUGAUGGAGAUGAUGAUGAAACUGAUGAUGGCUAUGUUGGUCUUUCUGAUGGGACCAAGGAAGAUGGAACUGAGCAAGAUGGAAAUGAUCAGGAUCAUGAGAUGGAUGGCGUGGUUGCGCUUUACACAGCCGAAAAACAAGAAGACAUUGAUAUGCAUGAGAAUUUAGAGCAUGGGUAUGAAGGAACAGAAGUAAGAAUGGAAGAAGAAGCUUCAAGAGCAGGAGUUGAAGCUGCAAGAGCAGGAGUUGAAGCCACGACAGCAGUAGAAGAAAAAUGGGAUGAUGGUCUCGAUUUGGUUAAGGGUCAAGAAUUCAGAACUAUGGUAGCCAUGCAAGUUCUAGUUCAGAGGGGUGCACAUAAGAAUGGUUUUGAGUAUGAAACAUUUAAGUCCGAUACUGUGAGAUUAUGGCAAAAUGUCGAGGAGCCAAAGAAGGUUGCAAGUGGUAUUUGCGUGUAGCAAAGCUUAAGAAUUCAGAUCUUUGGACGAUUAGAACUUACAACAAGUCCCAUACAUGCUCAGUAGUAACUACAAGUACCCUUAGAAAUAGAAGGAGAUGCACACCACAGGUUGUCACAUCUGUUUUGAGUGAAGAAUAUCCCGGUAGAUAUGACACACCAACACCAAAUGAUCUGAUCAGUGUAGUUACCCACAAGGUUGGUGUUGAUGUGUCAUAUGCCACAGCAUGGAGAGGAAAAAGGAUGGCUGCUAAUGAAGUCCGAGGUAAUCCGGAAGAGAGUUUUUCUAUGAUACACUCCUAUAUUUACAUGCUUAAGUUGAAGAAUCCUGACUCAGUAAGCUAUGUUGAAGUGGAUGCGGCGAAAAGAUUUAAGUAUCUAUUUUUCGCAUUUGGAGCUUCCAUCGAAGGGUUCGCAGCGAUGAGGAAAGUUAUCAUUGUGGAUGGAACACAUCUUAAGCAUGUUUAUGGUGGAGUUCUGCUUGUUGCGACGGCUCAAGAUCCUGAUCGUCACCACUACCCUAUCGCAUUUGGUGUAGUUGAUGGUGAGAAAGACGAAAGCUGGAUGUGGUUUAUGAAUAAGUUGAGGUCAGUGAUAGCAGAUGAAGGCGAAUUGGUGUUUCUUUCGGAUAGAAAUGCGAGCUUGAUCAAGUCAAUACGUGAGGUGUUCCCAAUGGCUGCACAUGGGUAUUGUAUCUGGCAUUUGUCUCAAAAUGUCAAAGGACAUGUUUUCAACAAUAGAGACGCUUGCGCAAGCAAGUUUACAGAGUGUGCACAUGCUUAUACAGUGGCUGAGUUCGAUGAUCUCUACGAUGCCUUUUCCAGAAGGUAUCCUUCUGCUGCGGCGUAUCUGGAGAAAAGUGUUGAAGUGAGAAAAUGGGCAAGAUGUUACUUUGAAGGAGACAGAUACAAUGUUAACACAACUAAUGCAGCAGAAUCCAUUAAUGGUGUUCUUCGGGAAGCGAGGAAAUUCUUCAUGCUACCGAUGAUUGAUGUUAUCAUCAAGAAAAUGACUGAAUGGUUUAACAAACAUAGGAAGAAGGCAGCUGAAAUACCAGUCACAAAGAAGCUUGUGCCAACAGUGGAAAAGGAGUUGUCAAAAAGAUGUUUGGAAGCGAGGUGUUUAGAUGUUGUUGAGAUAAACAGCUUCCACCUUGAGUACAAUGUCAAUGGUAGUGACGGAAAGAUUUAUACGGUUGAUUUGGCAAGAAAAAUGUGCACCUGCAUGUGUUUUGAUAUAGACAAAAUCCCAUGUGUUCAUGCUGCUGCUGCUGCCAAGUUCUUGAGCGUAGGAAGAGAUCUUCAUCUACAAGAGUUUUGUUCGAAAUACUAUUUGGUGGAGUUGUGGGCAUUGGCAUAUUGUAGGAUGAUUUAUCAUGUUCCUCAUAUGUCUGAAGGGGUCAUACCUGAUGAGAUUCGAGCACUUAAAGUUCUUCCCCCGGUAUAUGAAAAAAAAAGAAAGGACCCACUCAAAAGCAAAGGUGUCCAUCAGCCGGAGAAUCUCGUGGAUGAAGAAGAGGACGCGGAAGGGGAAGAGGCAGGGGCAGGGGAAGGAGAGGCGGACGUUUGUAUGAGUUUUAAAUGUGGAAGUACUUCUGCCACCACUGAGUAACAUAGAACUCUUGUACUAGGUAACGCUGCACUACUCGGUACUAUCGGAACUACUAUGUGUAAUAUGGACUACUAGGUACUACUAUGGACUACUAUGUGAAAUAUGGACUACUAGGUACUACUAUGAACUACUAUGUGUAAUAUGGACUAUUAGGUACUACUAUGGACUACCUAGGGUUACCUUGAACUACCUUGAAUUACUAUGUAGUAUGCAUGUUUCUAAGAACCUUUGUUUUCGUCUUAUUAUUUAUUUUAGAAAACUUAUCUCAUAUAUUACGAGAUUAUAUGGUCAUAUUUGUGUUUAUUUGCCAAAUUAGACAUAGAAUACUCUUAAAUUCUGAAAUUAGUUGAAAACUUCUCAUUUCUAUAGAAAACAUCAUUCUACUUCUAUACUAAUGUCUUGAUGGGAAAGCCAUAAUGGGAUGAAAUUCAGAAAAUACACAUUUUCUGAAAAACAUUUUCUGCCAAUGUGUUAUAUAUAAUCUAAAAUUGUUUAAAUACAUUUGUAUUACUAAUAAAUUUAAUUUCUUGAGGUUGUAUUACUAAAAAAUGUUCUAAUUUACAAAAAUAUUACUAUGAAGAAUGAAAUAUUACUACUUCCUUAAGUACUACUAAGAGUAAGAUAAAUAUUAAUUUAAUAUUCAAACAUGUUUGUUUAUAUAUUAUAUUUUACACGUUUUAGACAUGUGCCAUUUUUUAUUUUUGCUUAUAUUUUACACGUUUUAGGCAUGUGCCAUUUAAUAUUAUAUAUCAUGUUAUAUUUUUUCUUUUUCUUAAAGUGUUGACAAUGUUUUUGUCUUAUUAAUACAUAAUAAACCUAGUACUACAAAUGUGUUUUCUUAAGACUUAGAUUGUCUUGUCCUCAAUUGGGUCAAACCUGCUGCAAGACAUUCACACAACACAAAGCAUCCUACAUAAGAGAUAGCAUUCAAGUUUUACAGACCAACAAGCAACAAAACAUAACAUCUUACAUAAAUUCACAACAAAGCCGAGAUAAAUACUAAACACCCAAAAUAUUUUAAGCUUCUUGUGUUCUAAGCCUUUGUUCUAGGCUUCUUCUUGCGCCCUUCAAUCUCAUCAAUGUUAGCUUCAUUUUUUCAUUGGUUUCAUUCAUCUCAACCUCAUCUUGAACCUCAACCCGAGCCUCUGUUUCAACCUCUUUUUCUUUGUUUUCUUCAGCUUCUGCUUCCGGUUCAAGUUCUUUCUCUUCCUCAAAACCUCUAUCGUCCUUCUGAGCCUCUUCUUCACUCUCUUCCUCAUCCUCUUUUUCUUUGUCUUCUUCAGCUUCUGCUUCAGGUUCAGGUUCUGUCUCUUCCUCAGAACCUUUUAUCGUCCUUCUGAGCCUCUUUUUCACUCUCUUUCUUUUCUACCACCUCUGUAUUUUCAACCAUAUCUGCAUCUUCAGGUUCUUUGGUUGUUGCGUCCACCCCAUUGCUGUAAUUCUGCUGCCCACCCCAGUCAUAAUCCAUGCCUUGGUAGUCGAAACCCUCAUUGGUCUCGUUAUCCUCCUCAUUCUCUUUCAUUUCCUUCAUUUCUUUCUCAAUGCCAUCAAUCCUCCCGUCCAAUGUCUCCACCUUCUUGGCCUUCUUUUUUAAAUAAUAUUGGCAAUCCUCAAUCUUCUCAAGUUUCUUCUCCAUUGCCUUCAUCCUCUUACACCUCUUUUUUAAAACAACUUGGCAACUUUCAAUCUUCCCAAGCCUCUUGUUCAUUUUCUCCACCUUCCCAUUCACUUCACUCAAACAUGUCAUCAACCUCUCUUCAAACCCCUUCAAAACGUCCUCCAAACUUGUAUUAGAGGAGGAUGCUUCUUCAUGCACUUUCCUUUUGUCUUUCUUCCGAGGAAACUCCCUUGUAGCCACAUCUAACUCAUAGAGUUCUUGUCAAAAGAUAGGCUUCUCCUUAACAGUCAGCCAUGUGCUCCACAAAUUACUCACGCUUCUUCAUUUUCAUAGUCUGGCUCCCCAUCCAUUAUGCGUGCCAUGAGAGGUUCCUCAUCAACAGUAGGAACAAGAACACUAUCAAUAACCUGAAAAUUUAUACCAAAACAAUAUCAAACACAUAGUAUCCCACUCACUUAAUAAAAACAAAACAACACUCAACACAUACCUUAAUUUCUCCAAGUUUGUCGUACAAAUCCUCAAGAGGAUAACCCUUCAUGCUGUUACUUUGGAACCGUUUUUUACACAUCCUCGGAUACUUUCUCAUACAGCCAUCUACACCUUCUCUAAAUCGUGCUUUCAGAGCUGGAAUACACUCAAAUGUCAGGAUCUGAUUGUCAAAACAAAACACUCAGAGCUGAUUCUCGAAAGAAAAAAAUCAUAAGAAGAAGUAGAAUUUACCUCCAAAGGAAUUACGAACCCGGGAAAGUUGACAUUAUUCUUAGGUUUCCCUUUCAGAUGCUUCAUGAGUGAUGGACCGGAGAGCAUCUUCAAACGUCAACCGACCCUAGGGAGAGGUUUUACAAACCUCCACAUCGUUGACGACUCUUAAUAUGAAAGGGUCAAAAGGGACAUUAUACCUUUCCUUCCCUCUGAUAAUCGUGCCUAAGAAGUAAAACACCGCCAUCCUGAGUCGAUCCCCACACGCACUCAUACUCAACAACUUCUCUCUCACAGAUAUCAUCGUGAUCUCCUUAUGUGAUUUGAAAUGCCUGUCUACAUACGCAAAGCUUCCAAUCUUCUUAUACUUAGCCGGGUAGUCAUGGCAGUCCAAUCCCGAGAUGAGAGCAUGCUCUCUCAUUGAAUACCGAAUGGGCACUCCAUUAACAGCAAACCAAGUUGUGUCCUCUGACUCGUGUAAAGGAACAGUGCGCAGUAGAAGCAUCCACAUACCCUGCAGCUUCAAGUUUGGUUCAUCGGGCAUGUGGAAAAAAUGACAAAACUGAGGGUGGUUUUCAAACCACUCCGGCUCAGGCUUAAACCUAGCCUUCUUCAGGAUCUUCACCGUCGCGGUCACAUAGCACUUGCUCUGUAUCUUACACGUUUGGGUGAACUCGGUGUUCUUGAAACAUAGCUCAUCAGGUGGCAGUGGUUGGCACUCCUGUAAACCAAAUAAAAAUUAUAUUAGCAUUUAUUUAUUAGUAGUACUAGUCACACUAGUAAUACACCAAUACCACUUUUUGGGAAUAAUUUACCUGAGAUGAUGCAGACUGAUGAUCAGACUCAUUUCCGCGUGCUGACAGAUCAUCAUUAUCAUUCCCUGUUGAAAGCUCUUCUACAUGCUGCUCUUCUACAGGAGCAUUGUUUCUUUUUGUGGACUUUCUCUGCUGAGAUUUAUUUUUCCUUCGACCUCGGCCUGCCAUUAUCUAUAGCCUCUCAAUAUCUUGAUCCCCUGAAUAUAUACAUACUCAAUAAACGUUCAAUACCCAUCAAAGCUAAUAAAUCCAUUCAAUGAAAUAUCUACAAAAUAAAUCAUUGAUUCUUAUAGUGUCACGAUCUGCCUAAUCUCAAGUCAUUCCUUCAAGUAUUACAUCUUCAAACUUUCAAACAUUCAAUCCCGAAAACAGUGACUCCAAAUCAUUGACAACAAAACAGAUCAUUCAUUUAUUCUUCCAAUUUUAUGAGCUGUCUGAUCUCAAAACCCAAAACCAUUAAUUCAAUAAUAAAACUCCAAACAAUCAAUUCGAUCACUACAUCACAAACAUUCAAUCACUCAACUCGGUUUCACAUAUCAAACAUUCUAUCACCAAUACAGUUAGUCUUCAAUAAUAACUAGACUUAUCUCAAUUCUGAAACCAAACUUUCAAUAUCUAUAACCUCAAAACCAAAUGUGUCCAAGUUUCAGUCUCUGUAAUCCACAUUCUGAAAAAAAUCUGAACCUAACCGAUUUUCAACCACAAUACUUUCAAACCCACAACAAAAUCAAUCAAAAAUUGGAGAUAGAACAUAUCUUUUACACGGAAGAGACGAGAACAAAAACAGGAGAUGAAAGAUGAAGUCUAGGGUUCCGUCGAUUUCGUCGCCGAUGGAAGGAGCGGGAGAAUGGAAUACACCCUAGGAGAGCAGGAGCAGUUGAUUCGAUCAAUUUUUUCGGUUGAUUUCGUCAGCUCUAGGGUUACGGACUGAUUUGAGGAAAUGAUGAAAUCAGAGUAACAAGGAAGGGCACGGAGGACUAAAGGAAGACCAGAGAAGAAGCAGUGAAGGAAGCAGUGAAUGCGGUGGGCUUCAUCGUGUUCGUCGGUUCUAGGGUUUUCUUUCAAUUUUCAGUUUUAGAAGAGAGGGAGAAACGACAAAGGAAGAGAAAAGGGAAAGGAACGCGCAGAUCUGGUUAAGGAUCCGGGUUAUAGUGGGUCAAGUCAAAUAGUUUAGGUUGGAUCCUGUAAAUACUUGGUUUCAGGAAGAGUAAUUUCGAUUUUCAUCACGUUUUUGAUUAAAGUAUAUUAAAAAUUAUAUUGUUUUUAAUUGGUGGGAUAAAAUAGAAUAAGCAUGGAGUUAGUGGGGCAAUACGGAAUAAAGUCCUAUAUACAUACAUACACAACCUGAAUCGUAUCUACGAGAAGUCAUUGGUCUCCGUCACCGUCUUCUCUGUCUGUAUCCCCCUCAGAUCUGAUCAUCCGCCGGAUUCCGAUAUGCCGUCUUCCCGCGCCGUUAAACCUCUAUUCUCAGUUUACACAGCCGUCGGAUGCAUCUUCCUUCUUCUCUCUCCGGCGUUGGCCUCCGAGUCAGAUCACAAGGUUAGAUUUGAAUCUUCUCUUUCGUAACUGUAGCUCGAUUCGAGAGUUAUUUGCUGGCAGAGAUCUCGUUGUUGCAUGUUGUUUGUGCUGGCUCCAAUCUGUUCAAAAACUUGUCGUUUUCACUGCAUUAUGGAUUAUUAGGUUGAUUGAGUGGACAAAAGUCCAGAUGGCACAAAACGCCUUCAUCACUCCUCUUGUUUGUUUUUGUGACUGAUCAAUGUUAGUGGAUGUUGUUUAAUUUGCAGACAUUUAGUAGAGAAGAGUGCUCCUUCGAUUCUUUGCUAUGUCUAGCUUCUUCUGAUUAUGUAGAUAGACCUGGGAGAAAUUAAUUUGAAUUUUGAUUGCCUGAUGAUGAUACUCGAAGAUUAUUAUGGACAGUUUCUUGCUAUGAUCAUGCCUUAACAGUAGCAAUCUUGUAGUCUAAACAGAGAAAAUUAGUAGCAGUCCUCCUCCUACAUAUCCUGAGUGUUGCAAUGACAAAGAUUUGGAGUGCUUUCCCUUUUUUUCUCCCAAAAGAUGAUGUCUUCCUUGUUUUGUAUCUACAUUUUUAUGCCUAGUGUUUUGCCCAACAUACACAAUAUUGCACUACCAGAGCUCCAUUUAUCCCAAGUCCUGAAAUUUGGUCUUCUGCUUUUUUUCUUCCCAGUAUCAAGCUGAUGAGCAGGUUACUCUGUGGGUGAACAAAGUUGGCCCAUAUAAUAAUCCACAAGAAACAUAUAACUAUUAUAGCCUCCCUUUUUGCCGCAAAACUGAAAACACCAUUCACAAAUGGGGUGGUCUUGGCGAGGUCCUUGGUGGAAAUGAGCUCAUCGACAGCCAGAUCGACAUUAAGUUCUUAAGUAUUUUAUUUUAUUAUGCUAGUUUUUCUUUUAAAAAGUGUUAUCUUGAUUGCACAACAGUUAUAUUGCCUUUUUCUGUUUUACUCCCAGAAAAUGUUGACAGAAGCGUGAUCUGUCAAUUGGAACUUGAUGAAGCAAAGGUCAAGCAUUUCAAAGAUGCCAUUGAAAAUAGUUACUGGUUUGAAUUAUUUAUGGGUAUGUAUCACAGUUACUUAUACAAUAUUACUGAUGAAUAAGUAUCAAAGAAAAAAGAGAGCUGAUUAUCUGUUUGUUUUAUUUGAAAUCGGAAGUCUUUAUGACCUACGGAAUUAAGCUUGCUGCACAAUCAACAUUCUUUAAAAUUUUUAAGCAUCCUUCGGUUGCUAAUCUUUUGUCUUGCUUCUUUUUGGCAAAUCAUGUUUAUGGCGUACGUGGAUGCAAGUUCAGAUGAUCUGCCUUUGUGGGGUAUGAUAUUUCUUAUAUUCACAUUGAAUUUUCUAAGUUCAGUUCUCGACAUAAAUUUUGACUAUCUGAUUGAUGUUAUAGGCUUUGUGGGAGAGAUGCCUCCUGGAAAAAAUAGUGAAAACGGCAAGCAUGCUCUUUACACUCAUAAGAGUAUUAAUGUCAAAUACAACAAAGACCAGGUCUGUUGUUUCUUUGCCAUUAAGCAGUAUUAAGGAUCUCAUAUUUACCUUUUAUGUGAUCUGAUUUUUUUUCUUAUUUGCCUAGAUUAUUCAUGUGAAUCUCACACAAGAUAACCUAAGGCCGUUAGAAGCAGGGAGAACGGUGGACAUGACUUAUUCUGUUAAUUGGAUCCCAACCGAGAUCACAUUUGCUCGUCGUUUUGAUGUUUAUCUAGACUAUCCAUUCUUCGAACACCAGGUAAAUCAUAUUUUGUUAUGUUUUUACCGUUUUCAUCUUUCUUCUAUUACACUGAAUGUCAUUUCACCUGCUUGUUGAUCGAACUGCUAAAACCUUGACUCAAGAAAUUUUUUUGGAAGCCUUUUUUUUUUUGUAAACGUUUUUAAUGGAUUCGUUCAUCAUGCAGAUCCAUUGGUUCUCCAUCUUUAACUCGUUCAUGAUGGUUAUCUUCCUUACUGGUUUGGUCUCAAUGAUAUUAAUGAGGACUCUCAGAAAUGAUUAUGCUAAGUAUGCUCGGGAAGACGACGACCUGGAGAGCUUGGUAAUGUCUCAUCAACCCCUUCUUAUCUAGAAUAGCUUAAUAAGUUCUUUUUUAUAUUACUAUUUAUGCUGUCAACUUGUCAAUUUUAUUUUCCUUGUAAGUGCAAGAGUGUGGAGCAACUUCUGACGGUUUGUAUUAUUGAUCACAGGAACGGGAUGUAAAUGAAGAAUCUGGAUGGAAACUUGUGCACGGAGAUGUGUUCCGACCGCCAAGUAGUCUGGUUCUUCUCUCAGCUGUAGUUGGUACAGGUGCACAGUUGGCUUUGCUUGUUCUUCUUGUCAUAUUAAUGGCAAUCAUUGGGACACUUUAUGUUGGGUAUGUAUUUCACUCAACUUCUCAUGUUGUUUCUCAUGGAAUAAAACUUCGGCUUUUGUCUGAAUAUCAUUGUUGCAAUGAAAUCUUCUUAUGCAUUCUGGUUUAACCUUAUUCAGGAGAGGAGCGAUAGUCACAACUUUUAUAGUUUGCUACGCUCUGACGUCAUUUAUCUCUGGUUAUGUGAGCGGUGGAAUGUACUCAAGAAGUGGGGGUAUGCUGUAUCCUUGUCUGUUGAAAGCAAGCAAGCUCUCCAAUAAUUUACCUCCGGUUAGUUGACUCAUUCUCUUAUGGUGGUUUGUUCAGGUAAACACUGGAUCAAGUGCACGAUCCUCACGGCUUCUCUCUUCCCAUUCUUGUGCUUUGGGAUCGGAUUCCUCCUAAACACAAUCGCCAUAUUCUACGGAUCUCUUGCGGCUAUUCCCUUCGGAACAAUGGUGGUUGUCUUCGUAAUUUGGGGUUUCAUUUCGUUCCCUCUUGCCCUCCUCGGGACAGUCGUUGGUAGAAACUGGAGUGGUGCUCCAAACAAUCCAUGCCGUGUGAAGACAAUCCCACGUCCAAUCCCUGAGAAAAAGUGGUACUUGACUCCAACAGUAGUCUCUCUUAUGGGAGGUCUCUUACCCUUUGGCAGCAUCUUCAUUGAAAUGUACUUCGUCUUCACAUCCUUCUGGAAUUACAAGGUAAAAAUCUCUUACAACUUAAGAAAUAUCAACACUUGCUCUACAUUUCUUGAUGGGCUUUUUGUUGUUGUUGUUGUCUCAUGACAGGUAUACUAUGUGUACGGGUUCAUGCUGCUUGUCUUUUUGAUUCUUGUUGUGGUGACAGUCUGUGUGACAAUCGUGGGAACAUACUUCUUGCUGAACGCCGAAAACUAUCACUGGCAAUGGACAUCGUUCUUCUCAGCUGCUUCCACCGCAAUUUACGUCUACUUAUACUCGAUCUAUUACUACUACGUAAAGACAAAGAUGUUUGGGUUUUUCCAGACCAGCUUCUACUUCGGAUACACCUUGAUGUUCUGUCUUGGCCUCGGAAUCCUUUGCGGUUAGUUUUUUCUUUCAUUCUCUACUCUCAAUUCAAAUCUGGUCGAUGUGCACUGGUUUUGGUUUGAAGAUUGUUUGGUGAUUGGGAAACAAUUUGCAGGAGCGGUUGGGUUCUUAGGAUCAAAUCUGUUUGUUAGAAGGAUCUAUAGAAACAUCAAGUGCGACUAGAGACAUAAGGAACGAAGAAAGAAAAAAAAAUGGGGUAAAGAUGGAUCGUGGAAUGUUAUUGGUGGCAGUUAAGUCUGUUAGAAAGAAUUCUUACAGGUUUAGAUUAUUAUACUCGAGGGAAAGUGGGAAUCAAUGGAGGAGGAAGAGGUUGUAUGGUAAUUGAAAAUAUUACAUUUUUAUUUGGCUUUUUAUUUUUAUUUUUUUGCUUAUUGAAUCUGCUCUAUUUUAUUUAGGAUUCAGAAAUACUUUUUGGUUCCAUCGUCUCUGUAAAGAGGUAGACAGAAAACUAAAUUUCUAAAUUUAUUUAAAAAUUAAAACCCCAAGAAUUAAACACAACGUAGUUUUUUCUGCUGGUUUGUCUAUGCGGAUAUCUUCUUUUUCUUGGGCAUUAAGUUUUAUAAACUCAAAAAUUAACCAUUAAAUCCCAAAUUUGCUUAAAGCCUGAAUAAAAUGUCAGUCACACAAAAAAUAUUAAUAAUUAAUAAAGCAUAUGAAGAGUUAUUCCUUUUAGACACAAACAUGUCAGACAUAGUUAGUGAGCUGUCCCAAAGUGAGACCACGUAUAACUCACCACAACAAGAUAGGUGAGAGCGCAAAGUGUGUCGAACACAAUCACUCACACAAAAAGGAAACAAAUCACUAUUCUCCAAAUAAAAGACGAUAAUCCAACGAUCCACACGAUAAACGCCACGUGGAAGAUAGAUCCACAGCAAUCCCACCUUUUAAUCUUCUCGCCUCUCCUUUGCAGUCUCCACGCCAUUUCCACAAGCCACAACACAAAUCCUCUCAAGCACACAAAAAUGGCCUCAACAGCUCUCUCAAGCGCCAUCGUCGGAACAUCCUUCCUCCGCCGCCAAACAACUCCCAUCAGCCUCCGUUCCCUCCCCUCAGCCAACACUCAAUCCCUCUUCGGUCUCAAAUCAGGCACCGCACGCGGCGGACGCGUCACCGCCAUGGCUACAUACAAGGUCAAGUUCAUCACUCCAGAAGGUGAGCAAGAGGUUGAGUGCGACGACGACGUCUACGUCCUCGACGCUGCGGAGGAAGCCGGGAUCGACUUGCCUUACUCUUGCCGUGCUGGUUCGUGCUCAAGCUGUGCCGGCAAAGUUGUGUCUGGAUUUGUUGACCAGUCUGACCAGAGUUUCCUCGAUGAUGACCAGAUUGCUGCAGGGUUUGUUCUCACUUGUGCGGCUUAUCCUACCUCUGAUGUUACCAUUGAGACCCACAGAGAAGAUGACAUUGUUUAAAACAAAAGCUCCAUAACAUGCUUUUGAUGGUUUCAUAAUCAUUGUCUUUACAUUUUGGGUUGAGUUUGUUGCUACUUAGUAAAAUCUAUUGUUGUCUGUUGUAAUUUUUCUUGCUUUGGACCACCUUUUGGUAAGAUCAAUGGAUAACAGUGUAAACUAUGAUCAUGCAAAUUCUGGAAAACUUUUGAUGAGAAUCAAACAUUAUCUUUAAACAUUUGAAAAUACAGUUUCUUUGAAGACUGUCUUUUGUGGUGCACCUUUGAUGAAGUUUUAACCUUAUCUUUAUUUUAUUUAGUUACUGGUUAAAAGAAAAAUAUAUUAUUUUUAACACCUUAUUUGUAAAUUAUUACUAUAAGACAACUAUCUAGAGUAGUUGUCAAUUUAUCUUUCACAUAGAACACAGUUAUCUUAUUGAAGUAGUCUUUCAGUGUAGUGAUUAAUCUACUAUUUUAAAAUAGAGUCAAUAGUGUAGUAAUUAAUCUUCUUUAUUAAAUAGAGUCAUUUUAAAAAUCUACUGUACAAAGUUAUUAUAGUUGGAUUAAUUGGUAACAAAUAAAACUAAAUAUAUAUCUAGAUAUAUAUUUGAUAUUUUUCUUAUCUAGCUCAUUGUUUAUUGUUCUGAGUUUGUGGUUUCACUAUAAGAAAACACUGGCUUUACAACGAAGUUUUACGACGAACAUAAUUCCUCGUAAAUUUACAAGUAGAUUACGUCGACGUUACGACGAAAAGCAGUUUCGUCGUAAAGCGGAUGUAAUAUUACAACGAAACUGUUUCGUCGUAAAGUCGUUGUAAAGUUACAACGCUUUUACGUGGAAAAUUAAAUUCCACGUAAACGCUUUGUAAUGUAACAAGGACUUUACGACGAAUCAUGUUUCCUUAUCUUUCCUCGUAAAGACGUUGUAAUGUUACAAGGACUUUACGAGGAAUCCUAUUUCCUUACAUUUCCUCGUAAUGGCGUUGUAAUUUAACAAGUAUUUUACAACGAAUCGGGUUACCGUUAUACUUGGUCGAAACGUGUAUUAAGUGUGCUUUAUACCUAACUAAAUUCCUUGUAAAGUGGAUGUAAAAUCCUUGUAAAAAAGUUGUAAAUCCGUAGUAAUACAUUGCGUUGUAAAAUACUUGUUAAACCUUUACCUACCAAACUCGAAAAUCUUCUAUAUAUAUGUCAUUUCUCAAUGCUAAAAACACACCAACAAAUCUAAGAAAAAAGAAAAACUGAAAAACACAACUAAAAAAAAUGGCUGAUGGAUGCAAUAUCUACGAGAUACGGAGUUGGACGAUUAGUGACUUUCCUGCUUAUGGGAUAUUGUCUGGGUGGACAACUCAUGGAAGAUUAUCUUGUCCAAUUUGUCGUGGAUCGACAGAUGCUUUUCAACUGAAGAAUGGUAGAAAGAGUUGUUGGUUUGAUUGUCAUCGUCGAUUUCUUCCCAUCUCCCAUCCGUACCGAAGAAAUAAGACAUUGUUUAGAUACAAAAAAGUUGUCAGAGAUAGUCCUCCUCCAUAUCUCACCGGACAACAGAUCCUAGCAGAAAUUGAUUAUUAUGGAGCUCUGGAAACGGUGCCGCGUGGAGGAAACCGGACAACAGUUGUCAGAGAUAGUCCUCCUCCAUAUCUCAACACCAAUUGGUGUUGUGGAUGUCAACUCUGGGAGAAGAUACAACAAAUUCGAGCCUUUCAUCCUAGCUUCCCAGGCUGAACAAGUUAGCUUUCUUCCAUACCCUCGCCUUCGAAGUUCUGGGAUUAAUUGGUUGGCUACUAUCAAAAUUACACCUCGUGGACGAAUUGUUGCUGGAGAAGAACCACCAUUGCAAGAAGAAGAUGCUAUUAAUGAAGUUGAGGUUCCUGAUCAACAACUUGAUGAAAAUCUUCUGAUCGACCCAAAUAACCAUCAAUAUGAAGAUCUUCCCGAAGAUGCGACAGAUGAAGCACGUGAAGACGAGUUCGAUUGUAGUGACGACGAUGACUGUUCAGAUGUUGAUGAGAACUCAAAACGAUUCAGAAUGAUGUAAUAUAUGUAACAAAUGUUGUUUUUAUCUUUACAAAAUAUUGUACCCAAUGUUGUUUUUUAUUGCUUAAGUGAGAUACUUAAUGUAUGUGUACUAUAAGUUGUCUUGUAUAAUAUCUAUUUCUUAAGGUAAAAAAUUUUAUUUUGUUGAAGUUAAGGGUUUUAGUUGGAUAAAGAGGAUGAAAGUAUUAAUGAGUGAUAAUGGUAAAGAUGAUAACUUUGGGGUUUAGGGAUUUGAUUUUCGGGGUUUCAUACUUUCCUCGUAAAUUCAUUGUAAAUAAAAACACGGGCCUGGUAACUUCGUCGUAACAUAAAAUAUUAUUUCCAUGUAAAUUCGUCGUAACAUAAAAUACUAUUUCCUAGUAACUUCGUCGUAAAUGAAAAAACACGGGUCUGGUAACUUUGUCGUAAAUGAAAAAACACGGGCCUGGUAACUUCGUCGUAAACCAAAACACGGGCCUGGUAACUUCGUCNNNNNNNNNNNNNNNNNNNNNNNNNNNNNNNNNNNNNNNNNNNNNNNNNNNNNNNNNNNNNNNNNNNNNNNNNNNNNNNNNNNNNNNNNNNNNNNNNNNNNNNNNNNNNNNNNNNNNNNNNNNNNNNNNNNNNNNNNNNNNNNNNNNNNNNNNNNNNNNNNNNNNNNNNNNNNNNNNNNNNNNNNNNNNNNNNNNNNNNNNNNNNNNNNNNNNNNNNNNNNNNNNNNNNNNNNNNNNNNNNNNNNNNNNNNNNNNNNNNNNNNNNNNNNNNNNNNNNNNNNNNNNNNNNNNNNNNNNNNNNNNNNNNNNNNNNNNNNNNNNNNNNNNNNNNNNNNNNNNNNNNNNNNNNNNNNNNNNNNNNNNNNNNNNNNNNNNNNNNNNNNNNNNNNNNNNNNNNNNNNNNNNNNNNNNNNNNNNNNNNNNNNNNNNNNNNNNNNNNNNNNNNNNNNNNNNNNNNNNNNNNNNNNNNNNNNNNNNNNNNNNNNNNNNNNNNNNNNNNNNNNNNNNNNNNNNNNNNNNNNNNNNNNNNNNNNNNNNNNNNNNNNNNNNNNNNNNNNNNNNNNNNNNNNNNNNNNNNNNNNNNNNNNNNNNNNNNNNNNNNNNNNNNNNNNNNNNNNNNNNNNNNNNNNNNNNNNNNNNNNNNNNNNNNNNNNNNNNNNNNNNNNNNNNNNNNNNNNNNNNNNNNNNNNNNNNNNNNNNNNNNNNNNNNNNNNNNNNNNNNNNNNNNNNNNNNNNNNNNNNNNNNNNNNNNNNNNNNNNNNNNNNNNNNNNNNNNNNNNNNNNNNNNNNNNNNNNNNNNNNNNNNNNNNNNNNNNNNNNNNNNNNNNNNNNNNNNNNNNNNNNNNNNNNNNNNNNNNNNNNNNNNNNNNNNNNNNNNNNNNNNNNNNNNNNNNNNNNNNNNNNNNNNNNNNNNNNNNNNNNNNNNNNNNNNNNNNNNNNNNNNNNNNNNNNNNNNNNNNNNNNNNNNNNNNNNNNNNNNNNNNNNNNNNNNNNNNNNNNNNNNNNNNNNNNNNNNNNNNNNNNNNNNNNNNNNNNNNNNNNNNNNNNNNNNNNNNNNNNNNNNNNNNNNNNNNNNNNNNNNNNNNNNNNNNNNNNNNNNNNNNNNNNNNNNNNNNNNNNNNNNNNNNNNNNNNNNNNNNNNNNNNNNNNNNNNNNNNNNNNNNNNNNNNNNNNNNNNNNNNNNNNNNNNNNNNNNNNNNNNNNNNNNNNNNNNNNNNNNNNNNNNNNNNNNNNNNNNNNNNNNNNNNNNNNNNNNNNNNNNNNNNNNNNNNNNNNNNNNNNNNNNNNNNNNNNNNNNNNNNNNNNNNNNNNNNNNNNNNNNNNNNNNNNNNNNNNNNNNNNNNNNNNNNNNNNNNNNNNNNNNNNNNNNNNNNNNNNNNNNNNNNNNNNNNNNNNNNNNNNNNNNNNNNNNNNNNNNNNNNNNNNNNNNNNNNNNNNNNNNNNNNNNNNNNNNNNNNNNNNNNNNNNNNNNNNNNNNNNNNNNNNNNNNNNNNNNNNNNNNNNNNNNNNNNNNNNNNNNNNNNNNNNNNNNNNNNNNNNNNNNNNNNNNNNNNNNNNNNNNNNNNNNNNNNNNNNNNNNNNNNNNNNNNNNNNNNNNNNNNNNNNNNNNNNNNNNNNNNNNNNNNNNNNNNNNNNNNNNNNNNNNNNNNNNNNNNNNNNNNNNNNNNNNNNNNNNNNNNNNNNNNNNNNNNNNNNNNNNNNNNNNNNNNNNNNNNNNNNNNNNNNNNNNNNNNNNNNNNNNNNNNNNNNNNNNNNNNNNNNNNNNNNNNNNNNNNNNNNNNNNNNNNNNNNNNNNNNNNNNNNNNNNNNNNNNNNNNNNNNNNNNNNNNNNNNNNNNNNNNNNNNNNNNNNNNNNNNNNNNNNNNNNNNNNNNNNNNNNNNNNNNNNNNNNNNNNNNNNNNNNNNNNNNNNNNNNNNNNNNNNNNNNNNNNNNNNNNNNNNNNNNNNNNNNNNNNNNNNNNNNNNNNNNNNNNNNNNNNNNNNNNNNNNNNNNNNNNNNNNNNNNNNNNNNNNNNNNNNNNNNNNNNNNNNNNNNNNNNNNNNNNNNNNNNNNNNNNNNNNNNNNNNNNNNNNNNNNNNNNNNNNNNNNNNNNNNNNNNNNNNNNNNNNNNNNNNNNNNNNNNNNNNNNNNNNNNNNNNNNNNNNNNNNNNNNNNNNNNNNNNNNNNNNNNNNNNNNNNNNNNNNNNNNNNNNNNNNNNNNNNNNNNNNNNNNNNNNNNNNNNNNNNNNNNNNNNNNNNNNNNNNNNNNNNNNNNNNNNNNNNNNNNNNNNNNNNNNNNNNNNNNNNNNNNNNNNNNNNNNNNNNNNNNNNNNNNNNNNNNNNNNNNNNNNNNNNNNNNNNNNNNNNNNNNNNNNNNNNNNNNNNNNNNNNNNNNNNNNNNNNNNNNNNNNNNNNNNNNNNNNNNNNNNNNNNNNNNNNNNNNNNNNNNNNNNNNNNNNNNNNNNNNNNNNNNNNNNNNNNNNNNNNNNNNNNNNNNNNNNNNNNNNNNNNNNNNNNNNNNNNNNNNNNNNNNNNNNNNNNNNNNNNNNNNNNNNNNNNNNNNNNNNNAAAAAUCAUAAGGAUAAAUCAAAUUUACCUCCAAAGGAAUUAUGAACCCGGGAAAGUUGACAUUAUUCUUAGGUUUCCCUUUCAGAUGCUUCAUCACGUGAGUGAUGGACCGGAGAGCAUCUUCAAACGUCAACCGACCCCAAGGAAAGGUUUUACAAACCUCCACAUAGUUGACGAUUCUCAAUACGAAAGGGUCGAACGGGGCAUUAUUCCUUCCCCUCGCUCUGAUAAUCGUGCCUAAGAAGUAAAGCACUGCCAUUUUGAGUCGAUCCCCACACGCACUCAUACUCAACAACUUCUCUCUCACAGAUAGCAUAGUGAUCUCCUUAUGUGAUUUGAAAUGCCUGUCUACAAACGCAAAGCUUCCAAUCUUCUUAUACUUAGCCGGGUAGUCAUGGCAGUCCAAUCCCGAGAUGAGAGCAUGCUCUCUCAUUGAAUACCGAAUGGGCACUCCAUUAACAGCAAACCAAGCUGUGUCCUCUGACUCGUGUAAAGGAACAAUGCGCAGUAGAAGCAUCCACAUACCAUGCAGCUUCAAGUUUGGUUCAUCGGGCAUGUGGAAAAAAUGGCAAAAAUGAGGGUGGUUUUCAAACCACUCCAGCUCAGGCUUAAACCUAGCCUUCUUCAGGAUCUUCACCGUCGCGGUCACAUAGCACUUGCUCUGUAUCUUACACGUCUGGGUGAACUCGGUGUUCUUGAAACAUAGCUCAUCAGGUGGCAGUGGUUGGCACUCUUGUAAACCAAAUAAAAAUUAUAUUAGCGUUUAUUUAUUAGUUGUACUAGUCACACUAGUAAUACACCAAUACCAAUUUUUUGGGAAUAAUUUACCUGAGAUGAUGCAGACUAAUGAUCAGACUCCUUUCCGCGUGCUGACAGAUCAUCACUAUCAUUCCCUGUUGAAAGCUCUUCUACAUGCUGCUCUUCUACAGGAGCAUUGUUUCUUUUUGUGGACUUUCUCUGCUGAGAUUUUUUUUUCCCUCGACCUCGGCCUGCCAUUAUCUAUAGCCUCUCAAUAUCUUGAUCCCCUGAAUAUAUACAUACACAAUAAACGUUCAAUAACCACCAAAGCUAACAAAUCCAUUCAAUGAAAUAUCUACAAAAUAAAUCAUUGAUUCUUAUAGUAUCACGAUCUGCCUAAUCUCAAGUCAUUCCUUCAAGUAUUACAUCUUCAAACUUUCAAACAUUCAAUCCCGAAAACAGUGACUCCAAAUCAUUGACAACAAAACAGAUCAUUCAUUUAUUCUUCCAAUUUUAUGAGCUGUCUGAUCUCAAAACCCAAAACCAUUAAUUCAAUAAUAAAACUCCAAACAAUCAAUUCGAUCACUACAUCACAAACAUUCAAUCACUCAACUCGGUUUCACAUAUCAAACAUUCUAUCACCAAUACAGUUAGUCUUCAAUAAUAACUAGACUUAUCUCAAUUCUGAAACCAAACUUUCAAUAUCUAUAACCUCAAAACCAAAUGUGUCCAAGUUUCAGUCUCUGUAAUCCACAUUCUGAAAAAAAUCUGAACCUAACCGAUUUUCAACCACAAUACUUUCAAACCCACAACAAAAUCAAUCAAAAAUUGGAGAUAGAACAUAUCUUUUACACGGAAGAGACGAGAACAAAAACAGGAGAUGAAAGAUGAAGUCUAGGGUUCCGUCGAUUUCGUCGCCGAUGGAAGGAGCGGGAGAAUGGAAUACACCCUAGGAGAGCAGGAGCAGUUGAUUCGAUCAAUUUUUUCGGUUGAUUUCGUCAGCUCUAGGGUUACGGACUGAUUUGAGGAAAUGAUGAAAUCAGAGUAACAAGGAAGGGCACGGAGGACUAAAGGAAGACCAGAGAAGAAGCAGUGAAGGAAGCAGUGAAUGCGGUGGGCUUCAUCGUGUUCGUCGGUUCUAGGGUUUUCUUUCAAUUUUCAGUUUUAGAAGAGAGGGAGAAACGACAAAGGAAGAGAAAAGGGAAAGGAACGCGCAGAUCUGGUUAAGGAUCCGGGUUAUAGUGGGUCAAGUCAAAUAGUUUAGGUUGGAUCCUGUAAAUACUUGGUUUCAGGAAGAGUAAUUUCGAUUUUCAUCACGUUUUUGAUUAAAGUAUAUUAAAAAUUAUAUUGUUUUUAAUUGGUGGGAUAAAAUAGAAUAAGCAUGGAGUUAGUGGGGCAAUACGGAAUAAAGUCCUAUAUACAUACAUACACAACCUGAAUCGUAUCUACGAGAAGUCAUUGGUCUCCGUCACCGUCUUCUCUGUCUGUAUCCCCCUCAGAUCUGAUCAUCCGCCGGAUUCCGAUAUGCCGUCUUCCCGCGCCGUUAAACCUCUAUUCUCAGUUUACACAGCCGUCGGAUGCAUCUUCCUUCUUCUCUCUCCGGCGUUGGCCUCCGAGUCAGAUCACAAGGUUAGAUUUGAAUCUUCUCUUUCGUAACUGUAGCUCGAUUCGAGAGUUAUUUGCUGGCAGAGAUCUCGUUGUUGCAUGUUGUUUGUGCUGGCUCCAAUCUGUUCAAAAACUUGUCGUUUUCACUGCAUUAUGGAUUAUUAGGUUGAUUGAGUGGACAAAAGUCCAGAUGGCACAAAACGCCUUCAUCACUCCUCUUGUUUGUUUUUGUGACUGAUCAAUGUUAGUGGAUGUUGUUUAAUUUGCAGACAUUUAGUAGAGAAGAGUGCUCCUUCGAUUCUUUGCUAUGUCUAGCUUCUUCUGAUUAUGUAGAUAGACCUGGGAGAAAUUAAUUUGAAUUUUGAUUGCCUGAUGAUGAUACUCGAAGAUUAUUAUGGACAGUUUCUUGCUAUGAUCAUGCCUUAACAGUAGCAAUCUUGUAGUCUAAACAGAGAAAAUUAGUAGCAGUCCUCCUCCUACAUAUCCUGAGUGUUGCAAUGACAAAGAUUUGGAGUGCUUUCCCUUUUUUUCUCCCAAAAGAUGAUGUCUUCCUUGUUUUGUAUCUACAUUUUUAUGCCUAGUGUUUUGCCCAACAUACACAAUAUUGCACUACCAGAGCUCCAUUUAUCCCAAGUCCUGAAAUUUGGUCUUCUGCUUUUUUUCUUCCCAGUAUCAAGCUGAUGAGCAGGUUACUCUGUGGGUGAACAAAGUUGGCCCAUAUAAUAAUCCACAAGAAACAUAUAACUAUUAUAGCCUCCCUUUUUGCCGCAAAACUGAAAACACCAUUCACAAAUGGGGUGGUCUUGGCGAGGUCCUUGGUGGAAAUGAGCUCAUCGACAGCCAGAUCGACAUUAAGUUCUUAAGUAUUUUAUUUUAUUAUGCUAGUUUUUCUUUUAAAAAGUGUUAUCUUGAUUGCACAACAGUUAUAUUGCCUUUUUCUGUUUUACUCCCAGAAAAUGUUGACAGAAGCGUGAUCUGUCAAUUGGAACUUGAUGAAGCAAAGGUCAAGCAUUUCAAAGAUGCCAUUGAAAAUAGUUACUGGUUUGAAUUAUUUAUGGGUAUGUAUCACAGUUACUUAUACAAUAUUACUGAUGAAUAAGUAUCAAAGAAAAAAGAGAGCUGAUUAUCUGUUUGUUUUAUUUGAAAUCGGAAGUCUUUAUGACCUACGGAAUUAAGCUUGCUGCACAAUCAACAUUCUUUAAAAUUUUUAAGCAUCCUUCGGUUGCUAAUCUUUUGUCUUGCUUCUUUUUGGCAAAUCAUGUUUAUGGCGUACGUGGAUGCAAGUUCAGAUGAUCUGCCUUUGUGGGGUAUGAUAUUUCUUAUAUUCACAUUGAAUUUUCUAAGUUCAGUUCUCGACAUAAAUUUUGACUAUCUGAUUGAUGUUAUAGGCUUUGUGGGAGAGAUGCCUCCUGGAAAAAAUAGUGAAAACGGCAAGCAUGCUCUUUACACUCAUAAGAGUAUUAAUGUCAAAUACAACAAAGACCAGGUCUGUUGUUUCUUUGCCAUUAAGCAGUAUUAAGGAUCUCAUAUUUACCUUUUAUGUGAUCUGAUUUUUUUUCUUAUUUGCCUAGAUUAUUCAUGUGAAUCUCACACAAGAUAACCUAAGGCCGUUAGAAGCAGGGAGAACGGUGGACAUGACUUAUUCUGUUAAUUGGAUCCCAACCGAGAUCACAUUUGCUCGUCGUUUUGAUGUUUAUCUAGACUAUCCAUUCUUCGAACACCAGGUAAAUCAUAUUUUGUUAUGUUUUUACCGUUUUCAUCUUUCUUCUAUUACACUGAAUGUCAUUUCACCUGCUUGUUGAUCGAACUGCUAAAACCUUGACUCAAGAAAUUUUUUUGGAAGCCUUUUUUUUUUUGUAAACGUUUUUAAUGGAUUCGUUCAUCAUGCAGAUCCAUUGGUUCUCCAUCUUUAACUCGUUCAUGAUGGUUAUCUUCCUUACUGGUUUGGUCUCAAUGAUAUUAAUGAGGACUCUCAGAAAUGAUUAUGCUAAGUAUGCUCGGGAAGACGACGACCUGGAGAGCUUGGUAAUGUCUCAUCAACCCCUUCUUAUCUAGAAUAGCUUAAUAAGUUCUUUUUUAUAUUACUAUUUAUGCUGUCAACUUGUCAAUUUUAUUUUCCUUGUAAGUGCAAGAGUGUGGAGCAACUUCUGACGGUUUGUAUUAUUGAUCACAGGAACGGGAUGUAAAUGAAGAAUCUGGAUGGAAACUUGUGCACGGAGAUGUGUUCCGACCGCCAAGUAGUCUGGUUCUUCUCUCAGCUGUAGUUGGUACAGGUGCACAGUUGGCUUUGCUUGUUCUUCUUGUCAUAUUAAUGGCAAUCAUUGGGACACUUUAUGUUGGGUAUGUAUUUCACUCAACUUCUCAUGUUGUUUCUCAUGGAAUAAAACUUCGGCUUUUGUCUGAAUAUCAUUGUUGCAAUGAAAUCUUCUUAUGCAUUCUGGUUUAACCUUAUUCAGGAGAGGAGCGAUAGUCACAACUUUUAUAGUUUGCUACGCUCUGACGUCAUUUAUCUCUGGUUAUGUGAGCGGUGGAAUGUACUCAAGAAGUGGGGGUAUGCUGUAUCCUUGUCUGUUGAAAGCAAGCAAGCUCUCCAAUAAUUUACCUCCGGUUAGUUGACUCAUUCUCUUAUGGUGGUUUGUUCAGGUAAACACUGGAUCAAGUGCACGAUCCUCACGGCUUCUCUCUUCCCAUUCUUGUGCUUUGGGAUCGGAUUCCUCCUAAACACAAUCGCCAUAUUCUACGGAUCUCUUGCGGCUAUUCCCUUCGGAACAAUGGUGGUUGUCUUCGUAAUUUGGGGUUUCAUUUCGUUCCCUCUUGCCCUCCUCGGGACAGUCGUUGGUAGAAACUGGAGUGGUGCCCCAAACAAUCCAUGCCGUGUGAAGACAAUCCCACGUCCAAUCCCUGAGAAAAAGUGGUACUUGACUCCAUCAGUAGUCUCUCUUAUGGGAGGUCUCUUACCCUUUGGCAGCAUCUUCAUCGAAAUGUACUUCGUCUUCACAUCCUUCUGGAAUUACAAGGUAAAAAUCUCUUACAACUUAAGAAAUAUCAACACUUGCUCUACAUUUCUUGAUGGGCUUUUUGUUGUUGUUGUUGUCUCAUGACAGGUAUACUAUGUGUACGGGUUCAUGCUGCUUGUCUUUUUGAUUCUUGUUGUGGUGACAGUCUGUGUGACAAUCGUGGGAACAUACUUCUUGCUGAACGCCGAAAACUAUCACUGGCAAUGGACAUCGUUCUUCUCAGCUGCUUCCACCGCAAUUUACGUCUACUUAUACUCGAUCUAUUACUACUACGUAAAGACAAAGAUGUUUGGGUUUUUCCAGACCAGCUUCUACUUCGGAUACACCUUGAUGUUCUGUCUUGGCCUCGGAAUCCUUUGCGGUUAGUUUUUUCUUUCAUUCUCUACUCUCAAUUCAAAUCUGGUCGAUGUGCACUGGUUUUGGUUUGAAGAUUGUUUGGUGAUUGGGAAACAAUUUGCAGGAGCGGUUGGGUUCUUAGGAUCAAAUCUGUUUGUUAGAAGGAUCUAUAGAAACAUCAAGUGCGACUAGAGACAUAAGGAACGAAGAAAGAAAAAAAAAUGGGGUAAAGAUGGAUCGUGGAAUGUUAUUGGUGGCAGUUAAGUCUGUUAGAAAGAAUUCUUACAGGUUUAGAUUAUUAUACUCGAGGGAAAGUGGGAAUCAAUGGAGGAGGAAGAGGUUGUAUGGUAAUUGAAAAUAUUACAUUUUUAUUUGGCUUUUUAUUUUUAUUUUUUUGCUUAUUGAAUCUGCUCUAUUUUAUUUAGGAUUCAGAAAUACUUUUUGGUUCCAUCGUCUCUGUAAAGAGGUAGACAGAAAACUAAAUUUCUAAAUUUAUUUAAAAAUUAAAACCCCAAGAAUUAAACGCAACGUAGUUUUUUCUGCUGGUUUGUCUAUGCGGAUAUCUUCUUUUUCUUGGGCAUUAUUUUUUCUUUUAAAGUUUUAUAGACUCAAAAAUUAACCAUUAAAUCCCAAAUUUUCUUAAAGCCUGAAUAAAAUAUCAGUCACACACAAAAUAUUACUCCCUCUGUUCCUUAUAGAUCCAUUUUUUAGAAAAAAAAUUUGUUUUAAAAAAAUACAUUUUUUACAUUUUCAAGACAUUAAUUAAUGAAAAAUUGUAUUUUUCAAAAAAUACAAUUGUGUUUAAUAAAAUUUCAUUGGUUAAAAGUUAUUGAAAAUAGCUAAUUAAGGAAAAUAAUGUAUUGGAAAAUACAAUUUUAAAUGUUUUCUUAAUAAAUAUGAAAAAACUAUAACAUGUAUCUUUUAGGAACGGAGGGAGUAAUAAUUAAUAAAGCAUAUGAAGAGUUAUUCCUUUAAGACACAAACAUGUCAGACAUAGUUAGUGAGCUGUCCCAAAGUGAGACCACGUAUAACUCACCUCAACAGAUAGGUGUGUCGAACACAAUCACUCACACAAAAAGGAAACAAAUCACUAUUCUCCAAAUAAAAGACGAUAAUCCAACGAUCCACACGAUAAACGCCACGUGGAAGAUAGAAUUCCACAGCAAUCCCACCUUUUAAUCUUCUCGUCUCUCCUUCACACUCUCCACGCCAUUUCCACAAGCCAAGAGAAACCAAACUCAAAUCCUCUCAAACACACAAUAAAAUGGCCUCAACCGCUCUCUCAAGCGCCAUCGUCGGAACAUCCUUCCUCCGCCGUCAGACAGCUCCUAUCAGCCUCCGUUCCCUCCCCUCAGCCAACACUCAAUCCCUCUUCGGUCUCAAAUCAGGCACCGCACGCGGCGGACGCGUCACCGCCAUGGCUACAUACAAGGUCAAGUUCAUCACUCCAGAAGGUGAGCAAGAGGUUGAGUGCGACGACGACGUCUACGUCCUCGACGCUGCGGAGGAAGCCGGGAUCGACUUGCCUUACUCUUGCCGUGCUGGUUCGUGCUCAAGCUGUGCCGGCAAAGUUGUGUCUGGAUCUGUUGACCAGUCUGACCAGAGUUUCCUCGAUGAUGACCAGAUUGCUGAAGGGUUUGUUCUCACUUGUGCGGCUUAUCCUACCUCUGAUGUUACCAUUGAGACCCACAGAGAAGAUGACAUUGUUUAAAACAAAAGCUCGAUAACAUGCUUUUGAUGGUUUCAUAAUCAUUGUCUUUACAUUUUGGGUUGAGUUUGUUGCUACUUAGUAAAAUCUAUUGUUGUCUGUUGUAAUUUUUCUGGUUUUGGCCCACCUUUUGGUAAGAUCAAUGGAUAACAGUGUAAACUAUGAUCAUGCAAAUUCUGGCAAACUUUUUUUUUUUUUUUUGGCAUCGAUUCUGGCAAACUUUCGAUGGGAAUCCAAACAUUAUCUUUAAACAUUUGAAAAUAUAGUUUCUUUGAAGACUGUCUUUUGUGGUGCACCUUUGAUUAAAUUUUAACAUUAUCUUUACUUGGAAACAAAUCCGC